UAUGGUGUAUUCAGGUGAAGGCAGCUGAUCGCCCCUCCAUGACAAAAGUUUUGGAAAUGUUAGAAGGGAGUAUUGACGAUUUGCAAAUGCCUCCGAAACCUUUCUUCUCUUCUUCUCAACAUAUCUCCGGAAGAGAGAUUGAAUCAGAUUCUUCAACAGAUUUGGUAGUGUCUGAAUCGAUUGAGGAAUGUUCUUUCAAUGAUAGUUAUGCUUAGUUUUGGCGAUGAUACGUGUAAAAAAGAAAUAAAUUGUCCUUACGCUACCAGAGCUUCUACAACAUUAUGUUGAAAAUUUUCAGUACGAUUCAUUGUUUGUUGUGAAUAUUCCAAUUUUGCUCAUAUCGACGAGAAUAUGAUGUAGGUUUGUCAUGUGAUCAUGUGCAUUUAUCAACCUUUUGCAGUGCUGCUUGCUGCAUAUCUGAUUGAGCAAGAGUAUGCUUUGGACGCUUUGCUCCUGCUGAACUUAAUUUAAGGUACUAUUACCAAAGUAUAUGGCAGACACCUAAAUAUCACCAUGCAUCUAAUAAUUCCAUCUCACAACAGUGGUGAAUUAAAAGGCACAUAAUUCCCAUCAAUCCUGAACACACCCUUAGUCUCACACUGAUAUAUCAUGGUAAGCGGAGGGUAGCUGCUAGGAAUUACCCGUUGUCUAAAGAACAACGUUACUUACUGAUCUUAAAAAUAUAAUUUUCUCAUUUCUUUGCCUAUAAAUGACUUUCAACUCUCACUAAAAUCUAUAUCACAAACAGCAAGUCUCAUCCUGUUCCUCCAUGCAUUUGAUAUUGGCAGAUAUUGAAGUUGACUAUUCUCUUUGCGGUUACCAUUGACUUAGAAAAAGGAGAAAAGAAAGAAGGAAAGAACAGAAGAAAUUAAAAGAAACCCAUUUUCCUACCUUUUUCCAUGACAAAUUGACAAUCAAACUCUGCUCUCCCUCAUUACUCCAACAGCAUAACUCAAACUCGGCUCUCCCUCGCCCUCCAUGUCCCUCGUAAUGAGUUUAAUAGUUCUCUUCCUCUUCUUACCUUACACAUGUACAUUGGCCAAAGCUUCUGCAGAAGACAACAAGACAGAUAAAUAUGAAUUCUGUCAACCAACAAGAUGCAGCAAUAGGAGCCCAAGUAUCAGAUAUCCCUUCAGACUCAAAACUCAACCAACAUAUUGUGGCCUUGAAGGGUUUGAAUUGUCAUGCUUAAGUGACAAGACGAUCGUGCAUCUUCCUUUCUCUGGUGAUUAUUAUGUCCAUGAAAUUUCUUAUCUGGACAGCAGUAUUAACAUUGCAGAUGUGAAUGAGACCGCAAGCCCGUUUCAAAGCCUUAUCUCUUUCAACCUCACAAACUCCAAGUUCUUUUUUCUUCACUCUAAUGAAAGUUACGCUUUAUAUAACUGCACUGAGAAGGCUUCCCCAGGAUGGACUUCAUAUGCAAUUUGACCGAUCAAUUGUCUUAGCAAUGAAAACAAUCAUGUGUAUACCAUAGAUAGCAAUUAUUCAAUGGAGUACAUGCCUCCAUCCUGCAAAAAAUCUCGAACAGUUGAGAUUCCUGUUGGAUUACCUCUCCAGGAUGUUGCUACGACGGCGAGGCCAACUCCAGUAGUCUUAGGAUGGGAAGCUCUUCAUGUAUGUCACCACUGCGAAUAUUCAGGGAGUUAUUGUGGGUUCAACACUACAAGCAAUUCGACAAUCUGCGUUGCCGUUAAACACCAAAAACGUAAGUAACCAUAUCUUUCCUCAGUCAUCUCUCUCUACAGUGCUUGAAAGUGAAAGCAUCGUCUCUAUUUAGAUAACAAUAAAAAUAAUAAGUUGAAUUUAUUAUCAUUGUUAUAUAUGUCGGAAAAGUAAUCAGGGCAGUGUAAAUGAAAAAAUAAUAAUAAUAAUUAGGCUUUGCAUUAUUUUUUCAAUUGUAAAAGUGUAAUUACAAUUGCUGGAAGUUAAAAAUUAAAGAAGCCAUCUAUAUUAUUUUUUCAAUGUCGGAAAAGUAAUCAGGGCAGUGUAAAUGAAAUAAUAAUAAUAAUAAUUAGGCUUUGCAUUAUUUUUUCAAUUGUAAAAGUGUAAUUACUAUUGCUGGAAGUUAAAAAUUAAAGAAGCCAUCUAUAUUAAUAGGGGUGGGCACUGGGCAAAGGUUACAUUUAGACUUCCGAGUUGAAUUGAAUGGUCAGUUUUUCAAAUAAUUAAUAAUUUGAACUGAACUGAAAAUCCAAUCAAUUUGGUUCGAUUUAGUUUUUUUUUUCAUUUAAGCUGUGAUUUCUGUUUGGGGCAUAUACCUCGACAAGACCAGCCGUGAUGAGCAGAUAUAUAUAUCUUGACAAGACCAACCAUGAUAAGUAGAUACCUGAUGAGCAGAUACCUAGUAGCAGGAUUCCGCGAACAUGUAUAAUAUGUGGAAGUCUGGCAGCAGGGGAACAAGAGCAGGAAUAUUCUGCUCGUUUACGAAUGUACCAUCCGCCAGGCCACAACAAGAGUUGGCCUCCUAUUAGGAGCAUAAAGCCAUUCUUGCCGGAGGUUGAGGUGGGGAGACCCGGUCAAUAAUGAUUGGCUAGACGUGCAUUCCUACCCAAGAAUCAAGGCACGAAGUCCAUCCAGCCACGACUACAAUAACAGAGCAUCCACUUCCGAGAGUUGGGGAGGUAAUGGACGUAGAUUGUGGGAAGACCUAGAUUCAAGAGAAGCCUAUAAAAAGAUUUACAACGAAGGUAAAAGGGUUAGAUUUUUUGAGAUUACAACUGAGAGAAAAAGAGCUUCUGUUAAGAAAUCGUAAAAAAGCUUCCUAGAAAGGCAAAGCCUGCAUUUCUGACUUGAGCGUCGGAGGGUUUACCCCGGGAAAACACCUGGCGUGCUCUGACCUGUCUCUAUGUACGUAGGAGUUUUGCGGAGAAGAAGUCUUACGAGGAGAGAUCAUGGUCGUGGACGAGUUAGUUGAGGAGAGAUCUUGGUCAAGGAGAGAUCCUGGUCCUGGACAAGUUAGUUGAGGAGAGAUCUUGGUUGUAGAUGAGCAAAGAACCAGAAUCUCGCAUCAACAUUCUGGCGCCGUGUGUGAGGAGCUGAGCCAAAAGCUUCCAUUGAUAGAGAAAAGAAGAGGAAAACAAGUGAGGAAACAAUUGAUGUAGGAGGAAGUAGAGCACAAGGAGGUGACUUGAGGCUUAAUAAGUCCGUGAAGUUGAGAGAGAUAGCCAACGAAGCACGAAAAAAAGCAAUGCAUGAGCAGAUGGAACGGAUGGAAAAACAUAUGGAGACCCUGACAACCAUCCUCCACGAGUUGAGGAGUGAAUGAAGGGGGGUCCAUGAGGAAGGGGUGAGAAGUGGCGGAAUGGCACCAGGGCACGAUAAUAUGAUGAGAGGUCGGGCCACUAGAAGAUUUGGUGGUGAGGGAGGUAACUCAUCUCUACGGGGAGAAAUCCACAGAGGAGAAGAUUAAUCCCCAGAAAGGCAGAUCUUUGAUAACGAUGACAGGGUGGAAAAUGCAGACAAAAGAGAGCUCCGGCAACACCUACAUGAUGUUGAACAAGAGCGAGAUCAGGUUACAGCACGUGACCCUGGUCGUGCAGUACAGCUGGAAGAAGAAGUGCGCAGAUUAGCGCAAAUAAUAGAUGACAUGCAAGAACGGAGUAGAGCACCUGGUUGAGGAUAAUGCUGGACAGAGAAUCCCCGCUCUCGGCACAAAUCAUGGGGGCAGUCAUUCUGAUGGAUUUUCACCUCCGAGACCUCAGAUACUCGGGACGAACCGAUCCGUUGGUGCACAUAGAGCGCUUGAACGAUAUAAUUGGGGUACAAGGACUAUCCCAAACUCAAAAAUACAGGGUGUUCCCGCUGUCUCUAGAGGGACGAGCACGUGAGUGGUACCGAAAACUUCCUCGAGGAAGCAUUAAAUCCUUCGAGCAGAUGUGCCAGGAAUUUACAGAGCAAUUUUGUGGGGCAAUGGCACCUGAGGAUGAUAUGAUAGAGCUGACGAGCAUGAAGCAUGGAGAGGAGGAAACCCUGCGGGAAUUCAUCAAAAGGUUUUAUCGUGUUGUCCUCGAUUUGGGAGCUUUCAACCAUCCUCAAGCAUUAAGGGGAUUGAAAGAAGGGGUGAAGAUAGGACGUCUGUGGUACAAUUUGAGGAAUCCUACUAUUCAAACAUAUUCAGCUGCUUAUGAGCAGGCUAAGAGGGACAUAGAGAUUAAGGAGGAAAAGGCAGCACAGAUUAAGACAGAUCAACUGGAAGGGUUGAGGAGGAAAGAGAAGAGAGCUCUCCCAGGAAAUAGGCCGAUUAAGAGGAAGGACCAUCAUGCCUCAGGCAGUGGUGCAGGAGGCAUGGUCACCUCUUACCAGCCUCAUCAGAGGCCACCCCAAUAUCAGCGCAGCAGGGCGCAACCUCCUUAUUCACCAGCCAGAGAUUCAUGGAGAAGGUAUGAGCCGACAUAUGGUCAUCAUCAUCCACACCCACACGGUGGUAGAGGAAGCAGACCAGAAGCACCGCUAUCCCCUCCAGUUCAGAACGGCAGCAACAGAGAAAUGGCAGUACACAUGAUCGACUAGAGCCAAGACUAUGGGCGAUAUACUUCCUUGAAGAUGCCCCUAGACGAGGUGUAUAAGGCCUUAAAGGAACGGGGAUUACUAUACCUCCCCACCCCAAUAACUAAGCUACCCAGCAGAAGAGAUAGGGGACGCUAUUGCAAGUUCCAUGGCACUCACUAUCAUAACACAAUUGAGUGCAGAGAUCUCAAGACUCAGGUUGAAAAUUUGGUGAGAAAUCGAUACUUGGACGAGUUCAUAGAUGGGACCUUCCCGAUGAUGGCCUCAUCAUGUGAAGGGGAGCAGAGUAACAGGGACUUAAGCCACGAGCAUCCAAUAGUAAGAGUAAUUACUGGGGGCCUAACAUUGGCGGGAGAUUUUAACAGGUCGAGGAAGAACUACGCUAAGUAUGCCAUGACUAGCAAAGAAGUGUUCUUCAACACCCCAACAGCCAAGCGAGCAAGAAUUAGGUAAGUUCCGAUCAUGUGGACAGAUGAGGAUGAAGAAGGGAUUCUAUAUCCAUAUGAGGAUGCCUUAGUCAUUAAAGUCAUCGCUGCUAGCAAGAAGUUUGACCGUAUUCUGGUAGACACGGGAAGCUCGGUCGAUGUUUUGUUCAAGUCAACUCUGGAGGAGAUGGGAAUAUCAUACAUGAGGUUAGAACAUACCAAUACCUCCUUGAAGGGAUUUGGAGGAGGAAAGUUGGUUCCUCUUGGCGUGGUCGAACUGCCCAUCACAAUUGGCAACUCCCCGACAAAAAAGACUAUGAUAUUGGAUUUUGUGCUGGUCGAUAAAAAAGGUCCUUACCAGAUAAUUCUAGGCCGCCCCUUUCUGAGGAUGAACAAAGCGGUACUUGCCAACCAUUAUCUAGCUCUCAAGUAUCGAGUGAACGAGGUUAUUGGAGUGGUACGAGGAGACUAGAGAAUUGCCCGAAGCUAUUAUUCCACAGCAGCAAGGGAAGCAAUGCAGAUUACAUCCCUUGAUACUCGGGUAGGGGUCAAAAAUAGCAGACAGGAGCCCGUAGAGGAGCUGGAGAUAGUAAGCUUGGAGCAGGAUGAUCAAAGAAAAAUAAUAUGAAUCGGGUCGAGGCUUAAAGAAGAGCAGAAGCAGGAGCUGGUGCGUUGCUUACGAGCUCAUGUAGUUGUGUUUGCUUGGACACAUGAAGACAUGCCGGGAAUCGACCUUGAGGUCGCAUGCCAUAGGUUGGCAAUAAGGAAGGGUGCUCGGGCAGUAAAGUAGAAAAUGAGGUGCUUCAACCAGGAGAGGUAUGAGGCUAUAAAUGGCGAGGUGGAGAAGCUCUUGAAGGCAGGGUUCAUUCGGGAAGUUAACUACCCUGAGUGGAUAUCGAAUGUGGUGUUAGUGAAAAAGGCUAAUGGCAAAUGGAAGCUGUGUAUAGAUUUCACAGACCUUAGUAAGGCGUGCCCGAAAGAUAGCUUUCCCUUACCCAAGAUUGAUCAGUUGGUUGACUCAACAGCCGGACAUGACCUGCUUAGCUUCAUGGAUGCAUUUUCGAGAUACAACCAAAUCCUAAUAUUCAAGCAGGAUGAAGAGAGCACGUCAUUUAUUACUAAUUAGGGUUUGUUCUGUUACAGGGUAAUAUUGUUCGGUCUUAAAAAUAUGGGUGUCACAUUCUAGAGGUUGGUGAUAACCAAAUCAAAAGAACCCAAAGGAGCACGUCGAGCACCUCGAGGAGACAUUUGGACUGUUGAGGAAGUACAAGAUGAAGCUCAACCCAGAGAAGUGUGCCUUUGGGGUAGAGUCGGGCAAAUUCCUCGGAUUCAUAGUAAGUCAUCGGAGAAUCGAGGCGAAUCCCGAGAAGAUCCAGGCAAUCUACAGAUGAGAUUUCCUUGUAACCUGAAGGAGACGCAAAGCCUUACGGGGAAGUUGGCGGCAUUGAGCCGGUUCAUAUCAAAGGCGACAAAUAAGUGCCAGUCAUUCUUUCAAGUGAUAAGGAAAGGAAAGAAAACAGAAUGGACUCCCGAAUGAGAAAAAGCCUUCCAGAAUUUGAAGCAAUAUUUGUAGCAAGCACUUCUGUUGUCCACACCGUGGGAUGGGGACGUGCUGUUCCUAUAUAUGGCAGUAUCAGAUCAUGCCACGAGUUCUGUUCUAGUGAGAGAGGAAGAAGGGGUUCAAUAUCUGAUAUAUUACACCAGCAAGGCCCUGCUCGAUGCCAAGACUAGAUACCCACCGUUAAAGAAAUGGGUACUCGUCCUUGUAGUUGCUGCUCGGAAGCUGAGGCCAUACUUUCAAGCAUUUCCUGUCUCGGUAAUAACAAACCAACCGUUACGGCAGACUCUACACAAGUCGGAUGCUUUCGGUCGGCUCGUGAAGUGGGCUAUAGAAUUGAGUGAGUUCGACAUAAGUUACAAACCCCGAGCAACAAUAAAGGCUCAAGCAAUGGCCGAUUUUGUGGCAGAAUUUACAGAGCCCGAAGUAGUUUUCGACCAGUUGGAUGCUGCUACAGUCAACAACGAAGACCGGGUAUGGCAAGUGUCAGUGGAUAGAUCCUCAGGGGAGUAGGGGUCUGGAGUAUGGAUUGUUUUGAAAGGCCCAGAAGGGGAGGAGAUCUCUUAUGCUGUAAGGUUAGAGUUCACAGCCACAAAUAACCAGGUAGAAUACGAAGCUCUAAUAGCGGGUUUGGAGUUAGCUAAGGCAAUGAAAGUAGAUAGGGUGAAAAUCUGAACUGAUUCCCAACUAGUUGCAAAUCAUGUCAGUGAAAGGUUUCAGCCGAGAGAUGGGAAGAUGGAACAAUACUUGAAGAAAGUCAAGCAGAUGAUUGGGAAGUUUGAGGCGGUUGGGGUGAUACAAAUCCCAAGGGAGGAGAAUAGUUGAGCAGAUAUUCUCGCCAGGAUGGUGGCGGUAACAAAUCUAAAAAUGCCGAAGUCGGUCUAUUUCGAGGUGAAGUCCAGCCCUAGCAUCGAGCAGAAUCUAGAGGUACUGCGGAUAGAACAGAAAUGCUCGUGGAUGGACUCGAUAAUCUCGUACAUCAGAGAUGGGGUAUUACCACCAAAUAAGUUACGAGGUCGGAAGAUCAGAGCCUAAGCGUCGAGGUACACAAUAAUUGAUGGGAUAUUAUAUCGGCGGGGAUAUACUCUACUGUUCCUUCGGUGUUUAGAUGAGGACGACGCAGAUUACGUAUUGAGAGAGAAGUACAUGAAAGAGUUUGCGAAAACUAUUCUGGUGCGAGAUCCCUUGCCCACAAGGCUCUAAGGCAGGGAUAUUUCUGGUCGACGAUGCACCAGGAUGCCCAGGAGAAAACCAGGAGCUCCGUAAGUUGCUAGAGUUUUGCAAACUUCUCUACCCAACCACCAGAGAAGCUCACUUCUAUGGCCUCGCCAUGGCCAUUUGCUCAAUGGGGAAUUGAUUUGAUUGGGUUGUUACCAAAUAGACGAUGAGUAGCAACAUAUGCAAUAAUAGCGAUAAAUUAUUUCACGAAGUGGAUAGAGGUAGAAGCUCUCAGCAGGAUCACAGAGAAAAAGACGAUUGACUUUGUAUGGAGAAACCUGGUCUGCCGGUACGGGAUCCCUUAUGCCCUGAUAGCAGACAAUGGCAGGCAGUUUCACAACCAUAACUUCAUGGAUUUCUGCCAAAAUCUCGGGAUAGAGGUGAAGUAUUGCUCGCCUGCUCACCCUCAGUCUAACGGGCAAGUAGAAGCAGCCAACAAGAUAAUAAAGACGCUUCUGAAAACCAGGCUUGGAGCAAAGAAGGGUGCAUGGGUUGAUGAGCUACCCGGUGUAUUAUGGGUGUUGAGUAUUAGAAAAUGUAUAUUUAUAAAAGAGAAAAUCGUCAUUUUACACUUCAAGUUUUAUUAACACCCUUAAUUUUAUGUAUUUAAGUUUCGUGUCAUUUAAUUAUGUGUGUUGUAUUAUAAUUAAGUAUUUUAUGGAUUUUAGGGGCAUCAUAGUCAUUUCACAAUAAAUGAGAGAUCAAACGGCAAAACGGACAUCACUUUUGAACUCAGGACGGUCGAAAACCUUAUGAGGAGCAUAAAAGAAAAAGUGGCACUGUUCACAUGUACGGUAUUAUUCACAUGUACAGUAUUGUCUACGUUACUGUUCACGACAUUGUUCACAUAGACGAAUCGAUGAUGUGGCAUUGACCGAUGAUGUGGCAUUAACUAAUGAGGUGUCACGAUCCUAUUGGACUAAAAUUCUUAUGCACUGUUGAUGGUGAUGUGGCAGUAUAUCAGUGGACCAAAAAUCUCGCUACGGUACAUGCAUUACACAGAAUUAUUUUCAACCAAACCACGUCACUGUUCAAGCCGGGUCAAACUGUGUUACUAUUCAAACCGCGUGGUCAAACCGCGUAUUGUUGACUGAUGAUGUGGCGCAAUCCUGACCGUCCAAACUGUUUUUAAUCCGAUGGCCAUGAUUUACUCAAUGUAUCUAUAAAAAGGAGACCUCCCCCCCCUAAUUUGAUAUCUCUGAAUCCAUUUUUGGACUCCAUUUUCUGUAAUUCCUUCUCUAUCUUAUAUUUUCUACGUAUUUUAAUAAAUUUCUAUUUUGCCCCUAGUUUAAUUAUGAGUAGCUAAUUUUCUUUCAAGCUUGGGUUGAAGGUGAAGUCUCAACAUCUGUCAUGGGCUUUAUUUGGUAAAUUUAUUUUCUCUUCCCCUCUAGUUUUUUGUGGAUGUUUUGACUUCUCAUUAACAAAUAAUAAUAAUCUUGUCUAGAUACAGCCAUGGUUUCAUCGGCUCCCUAGUACAAGAUUAUUAUUAUUUGGCACGAUAAGCCCUUAGCACCAUAUUGAUUAGAGUGUGGUUCAUGAGGUGUUGAUUCCCCCCUCAUGAUUUAAUUGGCAUUAAUAAGGAAUAUUUAACCCAUGGUGCAUGUUAAUACGGAUCCAGAUACCCAAGUACGUCAUUUCAUUAGAUUUCUAUUCAAUUUAUUCUCGUCAUUUCAAUUCCAAUUUUAAGAUAAUCUAAGUCAUUUUCACCACAAAUCCAAACAUCCAUUUAGAAAAAUUAAUUCUACAGACAAUUAGAAUCAACCUCCUCGUGGGAUCGACACUCGUCACCAUUAAUCUAUUCUACAAUAGAUUCGUGCACUUGCGAGUUCAAUAAAAUUUUCACAAGUUUUUGGCGCCGUUGCCGGGAAGGUAAGUUAUUUUAAUUCGUAGAAUUAAUUUUUGUGAAUAAUUUCUUUUAAUUAUUUUCUUGUAAUUUUGUUAUUUAAAAAAAAAAAAGAGUGAAUCUACAUUUUGAGGUACGAAUCUCUUUUCUUUUAUCUUCUUUAAAUUUCUUUAAUUUAAUUUUCAUGUUAUUUUUCUUUGUAAUUUUUUGUUUAUCUUAUUAAUUUAUUUUUAGUUAAUUUAUUUCACGUAUUUUUUUGUGUAUUUUUAUAGUAAGGUUUUAACAGCGUAAUAAGUUUAGUACCGUAAUUUCUCCUUCUUCUUUAUUUUUAUUUGUUUUGUUCCUUUUUUUUUUUGUUCCUUACAUGCAUGGUCGCAGGUCAUUAUUACCUAAUCUUGAACCUAUAGACCUUGAACUAGAAAAAACACUUCGCACACACAAACACGUUAAAAAUAAAUUUGAAAUGGAUUUGCAACAACAAGCACUACCACAGGAGAGGCCAUUUAAGGACUACUUCAGUCUUUUAGCUAAUUUGAGUAUAUCAUACAUAAGAUACCCAAAUGUAGCUUAUAGGAGUUUUAAGUUAAAACGUAGUGUGCUAAAUUGUCUCCCAACAUUUUAUGGCUUAGAAAAUGAGGACCAUAUAAUCAUCUGAAUCAUUUUCAUGCUAUUUGUCAAACUUUUAAAUAUGAGAAUUUUUCAGACGAUAAUGUGAAACUUAGACUAUUCUCAUUUUCUUUAAAGGAUAGAGCUCGUUCAUGGUUAAAUACUUCCUGCUAAUAGCAUUACAUCAUGGGAACAAAAUUUUUGAAUAAAUAUUUUCCAGUGCAUAAAACCAAUGCUAUUCGCAGGGAAAUCUGGAGUUUACCCAGAGAGAAGACGAGCAGUUUUUCGAAACAUAGGAGCGAUUCAGUGGGCUACUUUUGAAGUGUCCACAUCAUGGGUAUGAGAAAUGGCACCAAUGCCAAUACUUUUUAAAGGGAUUAUUGCCGAAUGUGCAGGAAUGGCUAAUGGCAACAAGCGGAGGAGAGCUAAUGUCAAAAAGUGCAUCAGAGAUUUGGGAAUUCUUCUAGCGACAAGCGGAUAAUUCCCAACAAUAGAGUCGAUCACUCAGGAAUACUAAAAGAAUUAAGGGAGUAAAUGAAGUUCACAUUGGCGAGUCAACUUCGGGAAUCAAAGAAGUCAAAAAGAUGGUUGAAGGUCUUUCUCGACAAAUAGCAUCAUUAACGACUACUAAAUCAACAGAACUACAUGACCAUAACUCAUACUCAGAUCAAGCCAAUGCCAUAUGUGUAAUGAGAAAACCAUCAAAUUACAACCCAUAUAACCCUGGAUGGAGAGACCACCCCAAAUUUUCAUGGUCUCAAGGAUUCCAACAAAAUGGACUAGCAGCUCCAGCUCCACCAAUGCAACUAAUUCCUCAAGUUCCUCAAGCCACUCAGCCACCAUUUAGACCAUACAAUCAGAACCAGAACUAUUCUCAACCCAGACCAUGGGAGGAUUCAUUCCGGAAUCUCAAGAAUGUUACACACUCUACGAUUGGGCAACAAAAUCGCACCAUUGAUGGACUACAAAAUGAGUUGAGAGCAGGCUUCAACUCACAAGCUCAAUCAAUUUUAAGCCUCGAGAAGAUGGUGGGACAACUUGCUUCUUCAGUUCAGACCUUGGCAAUGACUGUUCAGAAAGGUAAGUUUCCAAGUCAACCAGUGCCUAAUCUUAAAAGAGUACAUGAAGCAAGUACCAGUUCACCACAGCAGCAUGGAGAGGUCAAAGCCAUCAUGACCUUGCGAAAAGGAAAAGAAGUCGACAACAAAGUGGAGAUGCCAGUGACAAAAGAAAAUUAAAUUAUACCUAUGAAUGUUGAUGACUCACCAUCGGAAGAGAAAGAAGAAACCAACCCACGAGAAUACGUUCCGAAAGCUCCAUUUCCUUAGAGGUUAGCUGAAGGAAAGAAGGAAAAAUCCACAGGUGAGAUUCUUGAAAUCUUCAAACAGGUAAGUGUUAACAUCCCUUUACUUAAUGCUAUAAAACAAGUUCCAUCUUAAGUAAGUUUCUUAAAGACCUUUGUACUAAAAAAAGAUACAUUCACGUUCAAAAGAAGACAUUUUUAACAAAAACGUUAGUUCUAUACUCCAACACAAAUUCCUCUAAAAUGCAAAGACCCAGGCUCCCUCAUUAUCUCAUGUAGCAUAGGAAACCACACAAUUGAGAAUGCUUUGUUGGAUUUAGGAGCUAGUGUAAAUCUGUUACCCUAUUCAGUAUUUGUGAAACUUGGAUUGGGAGAAUUACACCCAACUCCAGUGGUGUUACAACUUGCAGAUCAGUUUACGAAAAUAUCUCGUGGUAUUGUGGAGGACGUGCUUAUCCAGGUAGACAAGUUUUAUUUUCCUAUUGAUUUUAUUGUAAUUGGCACUCAACCAAUACAGGAUUUAAGGAAGCACAUCCCCAUUAUUCUAGGCCGACCUUUCUUGACAACUGCGGAUGCUCACAUUCAAUGCAGGACUGGAAAUAUGCAGUUGCCCUUUGGCAACAUGACUAUGGAGCUGAACAUCUUCAACAUUGCCAAACAACCUCACAAUGCAGUUGAUGUGGAUUUAAUUGAAGUAUUAAUUGAUAAUACUUUUGUUUCAAACCUUAGUGAUGAUCCUUGACAAACAUGUUUAACUCACUUUGGUUUGGAUUUUGAUAUUGAUAGAUCAGUUGAUGAGGUCAACGCCCUGCUUGACUCAGCACCAUCCAUGGACACUGAUAAAUGGAAGUCAAGAGUUGAACAACUAGCACCAUCAGAAAAGAAACUCAUCUCAUCAUCAGAAUCACCACCGAAACUUGAGCUCAAACCAUUAACCAAUACAUUGGAAUAUGCAUUUUUGGGAGAAGAAAGUACUCUGCCGGUAAUCAUCUCAUCAUCCCUAAAUGACGAACAAAAAGGUAAGUCGUUGGAUGUUUUAAAAGAACACAAAGGAGCAUUAUGAUAGACCAUUGCAUAUAUAAAAGGUAUAAACCCAAUAGACUGCAUGCAUUACAUUCACCUUGAUGAAAAUGCUAAACCUACUAGGGAAAUGCAACGUCGGUUAAAUCCUAACAUAAAAGAAGUUGUUAGAACUGAAGUCCUUAAGCUAUUAGAUGCAGGUAUCAUUUACCUCAUUUCUAAUAGUUCAUGGGUCAGUCCUGUACAAGUUGUCCCCAAAAAGUCAGGAGUCACAGUAGUUACCAAUGCUAAUAAUGAAUUGAUACCCACUCGAGUAACUACAGGAUGGUGUGUUUGCAUUGAUUAUAGAAAGUUGAAUUCUGUCACACGUAAAGACCAUUUUAUUUUACCAUUUAUCGAUCAAAUGCUUGAUAAAUUAGCAGGCCAUGAAUUUUAUUGCUUUCUAGAUGGCUACUCAAGAUAUAAUCAAAUCCCCAUAACACCAAAAGAUCAAGAGAAAACUACUUUUACUUGCCCUUUUGGCACUUUUGCAUAUAGGAGAAUGACAUUUGGAUUAUGCAAUGUACCUGCCACAUUUCAACAAUGCGUGUUAAAUAUUUUUUUUAUAUAGUUGAACGAUUCUUUGAAAUCUUUAUGGACGACUUUUCUGUCUUUGGUAACUCGUUUGAUCAAUAUUUACAUCAUCUAACACUAGUUCUACAGAGAUGUAUCAAGAAGAAUUUAGUCUUAAAUUGGGAGAAGUGUCAUUUUAUAGUAAAACAAGAUAUUAUUCUCGGUCACCUCAUUUCGAGAAAAGGUAUUGAGGUUAACAAAGCCAAGGUGGAUCUCAUUUCUAAUCUUCCCCCACCUAAAACAGUCAGAGAAGUAAGAUCUUUCCUUGGGUAUGCUGGUUUUUAUAGACGUUUUAUUAAAGAUUUUAGCAAAGUUUCUAAACCCUUAUGCAAUCUACUUGCUAAGGAUGAACCUUUUGUCUUUGAUGAUUCAUGUCUUGUGGCAUUUGAAAAAUUAAAGUAGUUUUUGACAUCAUCACCCAUCAUUCAGCCUCCAAAUUGGAGCGCUUACCAUUUGAGCUCAUGUGUGAUGCAUCUGAUUAUGCAGUAGGAGCAGUAUUAGGACAAAGAGUUGAUCGAAUUCCCCAUGUUAUUUACUAUGCUAGUAUGACAUUGAAUGAUGCACAGUUGAACUAUUCAACUACUGAAAAGGAAAUGCUAGCAGUAGUGUUUGCAUUAGAGAAAUUUCGAUCUAAUCUCAUUGGUUGUAAAAUAAUUGUGUUCACAGAUCAUGCUGCUCUUAAAUAUCUUCUCAUAAAGAAAGAUGUAAAAGCUAGACUAAUUCGUUGGGUGUUACUUUUGCAGGAGUUCGACUUGGAAUUUAAAGAUAAGAAAGGCGCAGAGAAUGUUGUGGCUGACCAUCUCUCUCGUCUCCAUUUUGACACAAUUAUGGAAUUAUUACCAUUGAAUGAGUCAUUUCCAUAUGAAUAAUUGAUGAGUGUGGAAGUAUUACCGUGGUAUGCUGACAUCGUGAAUUAUCUUGUUACAGGUCAACUUCCAGAGCAUUGGACCAAGCAAGACAAGGCCAAAUUUUUUACAGAAAUAAAGAAUUUCUUUUGGGAUGACCCGUAUUUAUUCAAGUAUUGUGCAGAUCAAAUUGUUAGACGAUGUGUACCAGAAAGUGAAAUUCAGAAUAUCCUUUCAUUCUGCCAUGAACAAGCUUGUGGAGGCCAUUUCAGCGCUAAGAAAACAGCGACUAAAGUUUUACAAUGUGGUUUCUAUUGGCCAACUAUAUUUCGAGUCGCUUACACUUUUUGUUCUUCAUGUGAUAGGUGUCAACUGUUGAGUGUUAGAAAAUGCAUAUUUAUAAAGGAGAAAACCGUCAUUUUACAUUUCAAGUCUUACUAACAACCCUUACUUUUAUGUAUUUAACCUUCUUGUGAUUUAAUUAUGUGUGUUUUAUUUUAAUUAAGUAUUUUAUGUAUUUUAGGGGCAUUAUAGUCAUUUCACAAUAAAGGAGAGAUCAGAUGGCAAAACAGACAUCACUUUUGAACUCAGGACGGUCGAAAACCUUAGGAGGAGCAUAAAAGGAAAAAUGACAUUGUUCACAUGUACGAUACUAUUCAUGUGUACGGUACUGUCUACGUUACUGUUCACAACACUGUUCACAUAGACAAAUUGAUGACGUGGCAUUGACCGAUGAUGUGGCAUUGACUGAUGAGGUGUCACGAUCCUGUUGGACUAAAAUUCUUAUGUACUGUUGAUGGUGACGUGGCAGCAUAUCAGUGGACUAAAAAUCUUGCGUAUGGUAUAUGCAUCACACAGGAUUAUUUUCAACCAUACCGCGUCACUGUUCAACCCGGGUCAAACCGUAUUACUGUUCAUCCGCGUGGUCAAACCGCGUACUGUUGACUGAUGACGUGGCGCAAUCUUGAGCGUCCAAAUUGUUUUUAAUCUAAUGGCCAUGAUUUACUCCAUGUAUCUAUAAAAUGGGGGCCUCUCCCUCUAAUUUGAUAUCUCUGAAUCCAUUUUUGGACUCUAUUUUCUAUAAAUCCUUCUCCAUCUUGUAUUUUCUAUGUAUUUUAAUAAAUUCCCAUUUUACCCCUAAUUCAAUUAUGAGUGGCUAAUUUUCUUUCAAACUUGGGUUGAAGGUGAAAUCUCAACAUGUGUCAUGGGCUUUAUUUGGUAAAUUUAUUUUCUCUUCCCUUCUAAUUUUUGUGGAUGUUUUGACUUUUCGUUGACAAAUAAUAAUACUCUUGUCUAGAACCGCCUUGGUUUCACCGGCUCCCUAGUACAAGGUUAUUAUUAUUUGGCACGAUAAGCCCUUAGCACCAUAUUGAUUAGAGCGUGGUUUAUCAGGUGUGGAUUCCCCUCUCAUGAUUUAAUUGGCAUUAAUACGGAUUAUUUAGCCCAUGAUGCAUGUUGAUACGGAUCCAGAUACCCAAGUACGUCAUUUCAAUAGAUUUCUCUUCAAUUUAUUCUCGCCAUUGCAAAUCUAAUUUUAGAAUUUAUUAUCGUCAUUUCAAUUCCAAUUUUAGGAUAAUUUAAAUCACUUCCACCACAAUUCCAACCACCCAUUUACAAAAUUAAUUCUAUAUAUAAUUAAAAUCCACCUCCUCGUGGGAUCGACACUCAUCACCAUUAGUCUAUUCUACAAUAAAUUCGUGCGCUUGCGAGUACAUUAAAAUUUGCACAACAUCAACGAAUGGGGAGCAUUACGCGAAGGAAUUUGAUGCCACUAAAUCUAAUUUUAGUAGUUGAGAUUUUUUAUGUAUGGGGUAUCGACUUUAUGGGACCCUUUCCCCCUUCUUUCUGUCAUCAAUACAUAUUGGUUGCUAUUGACUGUGUAUCGAAAUGGGUAGAAGCAAUUUCAUGUAGAACCAAUGAUCACAAGGUGGUGAUAGGAUUUUUGAAAAGCAACAUUGUUUCACGCUUUGGAUUCUCUCGAGCGAUAAUCAGUGAUGGUGGUGCCUAUUUUUGUAACAAAGCAUUCAAAGCUCUUUUGACAAAAUAUUCAAUCACUCACAAAGUCGCGGACCCAUAUCAUCCGCAAACCAGUGGCCAAGUUGAGAUCUCCAAUCGAGAAAUAAAGCACAUAUUAGAAAAGACGAUGAGGCCGGACAUAAAAGAUUGGUCAUUAAGACUUGAUGAUGCAUUAUAGGCAUAGAGAACAGCUUUCAAGACCCUAAUUGGGAUGUCACCCUACAGGCUAGUAUAUGGAAAAGCUUGCCACCUAUCAGUGGAACUCGAGCAUCAUGCGUACUAGGCCAUUAAGAAAUUCAACUUUGACAUACAACAAGCUAGCUCAGAAAGAAGAUUACAACUGGCAGAACUUGAAGAAAUUCGCAAUGAUGCAUACGAAAAUGCCAAAAUUUACAAGCAGCGAAUGAAAGUCUUCCAUAACAAGCAAAUUAUGAGAAACUCUUUCACUCCAGGUCAGAAAAUGCUUUUAUUCAAUUCUCGCUUACUCCUAUUCCCAGGUAAGUUACGCUCUCGAUGGUCUGACCCCUUUAUUGUUCAUAUUGUUUUUCCACAUGAGGCAAUUGAAAUUAAGGACCCAAAGAACAGUGUCACGUUUAAAGUUAAUGGUCAAAGAUUAAAGUCAUAUCUAGAGUACCAACCACAUGGAGAAGACACCGAAAUAAAUUUAAGUGACCCACCAGAUUUGAAUUGAUUUUUUUCUUCUUUGGUGAUUUAUUUUUUUCUUUCUUUCUUUUUAUUUUUUUAUUAUUCUUUUGCUAAUUGAAAUUAUUUUUGCAUAAGUGUGUUUGUUUAACCAUUAAGUUUCUCUUAUCAGUGUUAAUCAUGAGUGUCAUAUCUAAACAGUUUCUCCUGAACAUUUUUAAACCACUUCAACGUGUAAAAUCUCAUCUCAAAAGGCAGAUUCGAUUUUGUAAGAUGUUGAGUGUUAGAAAAUGCAUAUUUAUAAAGGAGAAAAUCGUCAUUUUACAUUUCAAGUCUUACUAACAACCCUUACUUUUAUGUAUUUAACCUUCUUGUUAUUUAAUUACAUGUGUUUUAUUUUAAUUAAGUAUUUUAUGUAUUUUAGGGGCAUCAUAGUCAUUUCACAAUAAACGAGAAAUCAGAUGGCAAAACGGACAUCACUUUUGAACUCAGGACGGUCGAAAACCUUAGGAGGAGCAUAAAAGGAAAAAUGGCACUGUUCACUUGUACGGUACUAUUCACGUGUACGGUACUGUAUACGUUACUGUUCACGACACUGUUCACAUAGAUGGAACGAUGAUGUGGCAUUGACUGAUGAGGUGUCACGAUCCUGUUGGACUAAAAUUCUUAUGUACUGUUGAUGGUGACGUGGCAGCAUAUCAGUGGACGAAAAAUCUCGCAUACGGUGCAUGCAUCACACAGGAUUAUUUUCAACCAAACCGCGUUACUGUUCAUCCGGGUCAAACCGCGUUACUGUUCAAAGUCGGGUCAAACCGUGUUACUGUUUAUCGGCGUGGUCAAACCGUGGACUGUUGACUGAUGACGUGGCGCAAUCCUGAGCGUCCAAACUGUUUUUAAUCCGAUGGCCAUGAUUUACUCCAUGUAUCUAUAAAAAGGGGGCCUCCCCCCCCUAAUUUGAUAUCUCUGAAUCCAUUUUUGGGAUCCAUUUUCUGUAAUUCCCUCUCCAUCUUGUAUUUUCUUCGUAUUUUAAUAAAUUCCUAUUUUGCCCCUCGUUCAAUUAUGAGUGGCUAAUUUUCUUUCAAGCUUGGGUUGAAGGUGAAGUCUCAACAUGUGUCAUGGGCUUAAUUUGGUAAAUUUAUUUUCUCUUCCCCUCUAGUUUUUGUGGAUGUUUUGACUUCUCGUCGACAAAUAAUAAUAUUCUUGUCUAGUACCGCCUUGGUUUCACCGGCCCUCUAGUACAAGGUUAUUAUUAUUUGGCACGAUAAGCCCUUAGCACCAUAUUGAUUAGAGCGUGGUUCAUGAGGUGUGGAUUCCCCUCUCAUGAUUUAAUUGGCAUUAAUACGGAUUAUUUAGCCCAUGAUGCAUGUUGAUACGGAUCCAGAUACCCAAGUACGUCAUUUCAAUAGAUUUCGCUUCAAUUUAUUCUCGCUAUUGCAAUUCCAAUUUUAGAAUCUCAAUUCCAAUUUUAGGAUAAUUUAAAUCAUUUCCACCACAAUUUCAACCACCCAUUUACAAAAUUAAUUCUACAUAUAAUUAAAAUUCACCUCCUCGUGGGAUCGACACUCGUCACCAUUGAUCUAUACUACAAUAGAUUCGUGCGCUUGCGAAUACAUUAAAAUUUGCACAACAAGUUUUUGGCGCCGUUGCCGGGGAGGUAAGUAAUUUUAAUUCAUAGAAUUAAUUUUUGUGAAUAAUUUCUUUUAUUUGUUUUCUUGUAUUUUUUUUAUUAUUAAAAAAAAAGAAAAAAAAAGUGAAUCUACAUUUAAAGGUUAGUAUUUUUUUUCUUUUUCUCUUCUUUAAAAUUCUGUAAUUUCAUUUUCAAUUUAUUUUUCUUGUAAUUUUUUUUUGUUUGUUUAUCUUAUUAAUUUAUUUUUAGUUGAUUUAUUUCACGUAUUUGUUUUUGUGUAUUUUUAUAGUAAGGUUGUAAUAGCGCAAUAAGGUUAGUAUCGUAAUUUCUCCCUCUUCUUUAUUUUUAUUUAUGUUGUUCCCAUCUUUAUUUUUUAUUUCAUUUGUUUUGCAUGCAUGGUCGAAGGUCAUUAUUACCCAAUCUUGAACCUAUAGACCUUGAACUUGAGAAAACACUUCGCACACACAAACAAGUAAAAAAUAAAAUGGAUUUGCAACCACAGGAGAGGCCAUUUAAGGAUUAUUUCAGUCCUUUAGCAAAUUUGAGCACAUCAUGUAUAAGAUACCCAAAUGUAGCUGCUAGGAGUUUUGAAUUAAAACCUAGUGUGCUAAAUUGUCUCCCCACAUUCUAUGGCCUAGAAAAUGAGGACCCAUAUAAUCAUUUGAAUGAUUUUCAUGCAAUUUGUCAAACAUUUAAAUAUUAGAAUUUUUCAGAUGAUGAUGUUAAACUCAGAUUAUUCACAUUUUCUUUAAAGGAUAGAGCUCGUUCAUGGCUUAAUACAUUGCCUGCUAAUAGCAUUGCAUCAUGGGAACAAAUGGUAACUAAAUUUUUGAAUAAAUAUUUCCCAGUGCAUAAAACCAAUGCUAUUCGCAGGGAAAUUUCAGAGUUUACACAGAGAGAAGACGAGCAAUUUUUCGAAACAUGGGAGCGAUUCAAUGGGCUACUCUUGAAGUGUCCACAUCAUGGGUACGAGAAAUGGCACCAAUGCCAAUACUUUUUGGAGGGAUUACUACCAAAUGUGCAAGAAUGGCUAAUGGCAACAAGUGGAGGAGAGCUAAUGUCAAAAAGUGCAUCAGAGAUUUGGGAAUUCUUCCAGCGACAAGCGGAUAAUUCCCAACAACGGAGUCGAUCAAUCAGGAAUACUAGAAGAAUUAAGGGAGUAAAUGAGGUUCAAAUUGGCGAGUCAACUUCGGGAAUCAAAAAAGUCAAGGAGAUGGUUGAAGGUCUUGCUCGACAAAUAGCAUCGUUAUCGACUGCUAAAUCAACAGAGCCACAUGACCAUGACUCAUACUCAGAUCAAGCCAAUGCCAUAGGUGUAAUGAGAAAACCAUCGAAUUACAACCCAUACUCCAACACAUAUAACCCUGGAUGGAGAGACCACCCCAAUUUUUCAUGGUCUCAAGGAUUCCAACAGAAUGGACCAGCAACUCCAGCUCCACCAAUGCAACAAAUUUCUCAAAAUCCUCAAGCCUCUCAGCCCCCAUUUAGACCAUACAAUCAGAACCAGAACUACUCUCAACCCAGACCAUGGGAGGAUUCAUUCCAAAAUCUCAAGAAUCUUACUCACUCUACGAUUGAGCAACAGAACCGCACCAUUGAUGGACUACGAAAUGAGUUGAGAGCAGGCUUCAACUCACAAGCUGAAUCGGUUUCAAGCCUCGAGAAGAUGGUGUGACAACUUGCUUCUUCAGUUCAGACCUUGGCAAUGACCGUUGAGAAAGGCAAAUUUCCAAGUCAACCAGUGCCUAAUCCUAAAGGAGUACAUGAAGCAAGUACCAGUUCACCACAGCAGCAUGGAGAGAUCAAAGCAGUAAUGACCUUGCGAAAAGGAAAGGAAGUCGACAACAAAGUGGAGAUGCCGGUGACAAAAGAAAAUCAAAUUGUACCUGUGAAUGUUGAGGACUCAUCACCGGAGGAGAAAGAAGAAACUAACCCACGAGAAUACGUUCCCAAAGCUCCAUUUCCUCAAAGGUUAGCUAAAGGAAAGAAGGGAAAAUCCACAGGUGAGAUUCUUGAAAUCUUCAAACAGGUAAGUGUUAACAUCCCUUUACUUGAUGCUAUUAAACAAGUUUCAUCUUAUGCCAAGUUUCUUAAAGACCUUUGUACUAAAAAGAGAAAUAUGCAUGUUCAAAAGAAGGCUUUUUUAACAGAAAACGUUAGUUCUAUACUCCAACAUAAAAUUCUUUUAAAAUGCAAAGACCCAGGCUCCCCCACUAUCUCAUGUAGCAUAGGGAACCACACAAUUGAGAAUGCUUUGUUGGAUUUAGGAGCUAGUGUAAAUUUGUUGCCUUAUUCAGUAUUUGUGAAACUUGGACUUGGAGAAUUACACCCAACUCCAGUGGUGUUACAGCUUGCAGAUCGGUCCACAAAAAUACCUCGUGGUAUUGUGGAGGACGUGCUUAUCCAGGUAGACAAGUUUUAUUUUCCUGUUGAUUUCAUUGUAAUUGACACUCAACCAAUACAGGAUUCAAGGAAGCACAUCCCCAUUAUCCUAGGCUGACCUUUCUUGGCAACUGCGGAUGCUCACAUUCAAUGUAGGACUGGAAAUAUGCAGUUGUCCUUCGGCAACAUGACUAUGGAGCUGAACAUCUUCAACAUUGCCAAACAACCUCACAGUGCAGAUGAUGGAAUUGUUGAUGUGGAUUUAAUUGAAGCAUUAGUUGAUGAUACUUUUGUUUCAAACCUUAGUGAUGAUCCUUUACAAACAUGUUUAACUCACUUUGGUUUGGAUUUUGAUAUUGACAGAUCGGUCGAUGAGGUCAAUGCCCUGCUUGACUCAGCACCAUCUAUGGACACUAAUAAAUGGAAGUCAAGAGUUGAGCAACUAGCACCAUCAGAGAAGCAACUCAUUCCAUCAUCAGAAUCACCACCGAAACUCGAGCUCAAACCAUUACCCAACACUCUGGAAUAUGCAUUUUUGGGAGAAGAAAGUACUCUGCCGGUAAUCAUCUCAUCAUCCCUAAAUGACGAACAAAAAGGUAAGUUGUUGGAUGUUUUGAAAGAUCACAAAGGGGCAUUAGGAUGGACCAUAGCAGACAUUAAAGGUAUAAACCCAGUAGACUGCAUGCAUUACAUUCACCUUGAUGAAAAUGCUAAAACUACUAGGGAAAUGCAACGUCGGUUAAAUCCUAACAUGAAAGAAGUUGUUAGAACUGAAGUCCUUAAGCUAUUAGACGCAGGUAUCAUUUACCCCAUUUCUGAUAGUUCAUGGGUCAGUCCUGUGCAAGUUGUCCCCAAAAAGUCAGGAAUCACAGUAGUUACGAAUGCUGAUAAUGAAUUGAUACCCACUAGAGUAACUACAGGAUGGCGUGUAUGUAUUGAUUAUAGGAAGUUGAAUUCUGUCACACGUAAAGACCAUUUUCCUUUACCAUUUAUUGAUCAAAUGCUUGAUAGAUUAGCAGGCCAUGAAUUUUAUUGCUUUCUAGAUGGCUACUCAGGAUAUAAUCAGAUUCCCAUAGCACCAAAAGAUCAGGAGAAAACUACUUUCACUUGCCCUUUUGGCACAUUUGCAUAUAGGAGAAUGCCAUUUGGAUUAUGUAAUGCACCUGCUACAUUUCAACGAUGCAUGUUGAGCAUUUUUUCUGAUAUGGUUGAACGAUUCCUUGAAGUCUUUAUGGAUGACUUUUCUGUCUUUGGUGACUCGUUUGAUCAAUGUUUACAUCAUCUAACACUAGUUCUGCAGAGAUGUAUCGAGAAGAACUUGGUCUUAAAUUGGGAGAAAUGCCAUUUUAUGGUAAAACAAGGUAUUGUUCUCGGUCACAUCAUUUCGAGCAAAGGUAUUGAGGUUGACAAAGCCAAGGUGGAUCUCAUUUCUAAUCUUCCUCCACCCAAAACAGUCAAAGAAGUAAGAUCUUUCCUUGGGCAUGCUGGUUUCUAUAGACGUUUCAUUUAAGAUUUUAGCAAAGUUUAUAGACCCUUAUGCAAUUUACUUGCUAAGGAUGUACCUUUUAUCUUUAAUGAUUCAUGUCUUAUGGCGUUUGAAAAAUUAAAACGGUUGUUGACAUCAUCACCCAUCAUUCAGGCCCCAAACUGGAGCUUACCAUUUGAGCUAAUGUGUGAUGCAUCUGAUUAUGCAGUAGGAGCAGUAUUAGGACAAAGAGUUGAUCGAAUUCCCCAUGUUAUUUACUAUGCUAGUAUGACAUUAAAUGAUGCACAGUUGAACUAUUCAACUACUGAAAAAGAAAUGCUAGCAGUAGUGUUUGCAUUAGAGAAAUUUCGAUCUUAUCUCAUUGGUUGUAAAAUAAUCGUGUUCACAGAUCAUGCUGCUCUUAAAUAUCUUCUCACAAAGAAAUAUGCAAAAGCUAGACUAAUUCGUUGGGUGUUACUUUUGCAGGAAUUUGACUUGGAGUUCAAAGAUAAGAAAUGGACAGAAAAUGUUGUAACAGACCACCUCUCUCGUCUCCAUUUUGACACAAUUACAGAAUCAUUACCAUUGAAUGAGUCAUUUCCAAAUGAACAAUUAAUGAGUGUGGAAGUAUUACCUUGGUAUGCUGAUAUAGUUAAUUAUCUUGGUACAAGUAAACUUCCAGAGCAUUGGACCAAGCAAGACAAGGCUAAAUUCUUUGCAGAAAUAAAGAAUUUCUUUUGGGAUGACCCGUAUUUGUUCAAGUAUUGUGCAGACCAAAUUGUUAGACGAUGUGUCCCAGAAAGUGAAAUUCAAAAUAUCCUUUCAUUCUGCCGUGAACAAGCUUGUGGAGGCCAUUUCAGUGCUAAGAAAACAGCGACUAAAGUUUUACAAUGUGGUUUCUAUUGGCCAACUAUAUUUCGAGACGCUUACACUUUCUGUUCUUCAUGUGAUAGGUGUCAACGAAUGGGGAGCAUUACGCGAAGGAAUAUGAUGCCACUAAAUCCAAUUUUAGUGGUUGAGAUUUUUGACGUAUGGGGUAUCGACUUCAUGGGACCCUUUCCCCCUUCUUUUGGCCAUCAAUACAUAUUGGUUGCUGUUGACUACGUAUCAAAAUGGGUAGAAGCAAUUCCAUGUAGGACCAAUGAUCACAAGGUGGUGAUAGGAUUUUUGAAAAGCAACAUUGUCUCGCGCUUUGGAUUCCCUCGAGCAAUAAUCAGUGAUGGUGGUGCCCACUUUUGUAACAAAGCAUUCAAAGCUCUUUUGACAAAGUAUUCAAUCACACACAAAGUGGCGACCCCGUAUCAUCCGCAAACCAGUGGCCAAGUUGAGAUCUCCAAUCGAGAAAUAAAGCACAUAUUAGAAAAAACGGUGAGGCCGGACAGAAAAGAUUGGUCAUUAAGACUUGAUGAUGCCUUAUGGGCAUAUAGAACAGCUUUCAAGACCCCGAUUGGGAUGUCACCCUACAGGCUAGUAUAUGGAAAAGCUUGCCACCUACCUGUGGAACUCGAGCAUCGUGCAUAUUGGGCCAUCAAGAAAUUCAAUUUUGACAUGCAGCAAGCCAGCUCAGAAAGAAGAUUACAGCUGGCAGAACUUGAAGAAAUUCGCAAUGAUGCAUACGAAAAUGCCAAGAUUUACAAGCAACGAAUGAAAGUCUUCCAUGAUAAGCAAAUUAUGAGAAAAUCGUUCACUCCAGGUCAGAAAGUGCUUAUGUUCAAUUCUCGCUUGCACAUAUUCCCAGGUAAGUUACGCUCUCGUUGGUCUGGUCCCUUUAUUGUUCAUACUGUUUUUCCACAUGGGGCAAUUGAAAUUAAGGACCCAAAGAACGGUGUCACGUUCAAAGUUAAUGGUCAAAGAUUAAAGCCAUAUCUAGAGUACCAACCACAUGACGAAGACACCGAAAUAAAUUUGAGUGACCCACCAAAUUUGAAUUGAUUUUUUUUUCUUUUCGUUGAUUUGAUUUUUCUUUCUUUAUUUUUAUUAUUCCUUUGCUAAUUGAAAUUGUUUUUGCAUAAGUGUGUUUAUUUUACCAUUAAGUUUUCUCUUAUCAUUUUUAAUCAUGAGUCUCAUACUUAGACCGUUCCUCCUGAACAUUCUUAAACCACUUCAACGUGUCAAAACUCAUCUCAAAAGGCAGAUUCAAUUUUGUAAAACACAACGCAUUUGGGCUCUACAACCACCAGAGUUAGUAGCCUAUGUUGAGGGUUUAGAACGCCAACUCAGAGACAUUGAGAGAAGUGUUUACGACAUCCAGUUGGAGCUUGAGGUAAAUUCAAUAAGAGGACGAUUUUAAUUUUCUUUGUGUGUUUUAAUUUGUUUUUCUGUUUGUGUGCUUUAGUUUGUUACCCCGGUGAAGUGGCGGAUAACGGUACUCCGUGACAAUCAAGUCGGUUACUUCAGUUUCCCAUAAUAACUGAUAUUCUGAGGCGAAGGUAUGGACAGAAACGAGAUUCUAGCGAAGCUUCACAAGCGAUUCCCUUCACUUCCUCAGAAUGCCCUCCUUACGAUCUAUAAAGCUCGGUCCGAACGCAUGCGAUUACUCAUGAGGAAUAACAUACCUGCUGACAUCCGUUGGUUAAUCGAGGCUAAAGUACGAUCGGUAGGUGAGUUACCUCCAAAAUUUAUUGCAUACAUGCCUGGUUGUGGUAAAGGAAAUUAUGCAAGAAAACGACGAGCUCGAAGAAUUUCUGUUGCUUGUCAUAAGUGUGCCAGAAUGAGUUGCAAUAAAAACCCAUGUUCUUUAGGAAUGAUGUCUGAUAACAGGGAAGAUAAGAUUCAAUUCAUUAGGGAUGGCUUGAAUAAGGAGUCAUUGGAUGAUAUCCUUUUGUCUCUUGAAACGCAUCCCAGUGGAUAUGUGCAAGGAGCGAUUCUCCAGUUAUGGCCAUUAUUCCAGAAAGAGCAUGCACGAUAUAGUCUCGGGAAUCUGACUAUAAACGACCCUGUUUGCCAGUUUAUAAGAAAACUGGAUAGGAAGCCUAUCCUUGACCCAUAGAGGGCGUUCAAGCCGUUUUUGGACGUAAAACCAGAGGAAGAUGUGAGCCACAGUCGCAACUACCUGUAAAUAUCCUUUUACUUUAUUGUUAUUUUAUUUCACUAUUGCCUUAUUGUUUGCAUUAUUGUCUUUAAUAAUUUUAUUACUGUUUACUUUUUUCUUUUUACUGUUUUCUUUUUGACUUGCGAGCCACGUGCUUUACGCGUUAUUUGACACUGACAUAUUACCUCAUACACAACCAUGAUCCACUAUCACUGAGACUCUUAAAUGUGAUUUCUUUUUUGUCAAGCACUCACAAAUUGUUUUUGAGAAGUAUCACAAUGUCAGCUACUCCCAAUAGACAAUUCAAGAACAUUUUUGUGCUUUCUGGAUUUACAUAUGGCAAACAUAAAGAGUUCGUUGAGGCAGCCAUAGAUCUUGGUCGAAGAAUAGCAGCGAGAAAAUUACACUUGGUGUAUGGAGGAGGUAAUCGAGGGUUAUCAAAAAUGGUCUCAGAAACAGCUUUUAUCAGAGGAAGUCAAGUGUUAGGCAUCAUCCCAAGAGUCUUAAAACCAUUGGGCAGUUCGUCUGACUCCUCAACUGGAGAAGAGUUAGUCGUCUCAGGUAUGCAAGAAAGAAUAACUGAAAUGCUUAAUCAUGCUGAUGCUUAUAUUUUCCUUCCAGGAGAUCUUGCAACACUAGAGGCACUUAUCACGCUAGCAUCUUGGGCCCAUCUGCACAUCCACCAAAAACCCAUCGGUUUGUUAAAUGUCAAUAACUUUUAUGAUGGCUUUAUCGCAUUUCUUAACCAUGCAAUAAAAAACUAUUUCAUUCCUUCUAAUGUGAAAAAACUUUUUAUUUGUGCUCACACUGCUAAUGAGCUACUUGAUAUGUUACAAGCUUAUAAACCGGAGCCAGACCCCUGGACCUUUGUGUUGGAGCGCCCAAAUAAUGAUGGUAACAGUAGCCGCAGUAAGAAGUACAAAUUAGAUUUAACUCUCCGCUUGUAAAUAUUGUUUUCUGUGUUGCACCACCCAUGUGAUGUCUUCUAAACUCUACUUCUUUCCUUUCAAACAUUGAGGACAAUGUUUCGUUCUGGUUGGGGGGAGGGAAUAGUCGACAAUUGUGGAAUUUUGGUUAAGUUUUUACUAAUUUUUGUUGUAGAAACUAAUUGUUGCUAACUUUUUGUGUCGAAGAUGGCUGAAUAUAGAGUGUAGUGACUCUAGAAACGCAUCUUCAUCGUAAAAAAAAAAAUUAAAAAAUUAAAAAAAAUUUCAGACAUUUUCUUUUUCUUUAUUAUGUUUUUAUGUUUAUUUUUCUUCUUUUUAAUUUCUCCUCUAUAAAUAUACAUUUUUCAAUUUGUGAGUCGAAGAUGGCUGAAUAUGGAGUGUAGUUCCUCUAGAAACGCAUCUUCUUUAAAAAAAAAAAUUAUUUUCGUUUUCUAUCAUUUUACGUGUAACUUUUCUAAUUAGUUUUUAUGCAUCAUUUUCACAUUUAUGCAUGCAUAUUUUCCUUUCAUGUUUAGAAUAGGUUGGGGGGUAGAAUGUUGUUUAAAAAAAAAAUUGUGAUUUGUUUUAACAUUAGAUGACAUGAUUAAUUUCAAAUUUUAGUAUUUGUAUUAUCUUUGGUCUUAAGUGAUGUUACAUUAUGUUUGCUACUCUACAUGUUGAUGUCGGAGACAAAUAUGAGUUGCUUGAAGGAAUGAACAUGUCAUAAUAAGUACCAAGUGAGUUUUUGAGCCUAUUAUUUUUCUUGGAGAAUAACGAUUUUGCCCACUCUUUAUACAGCUUAGCAGUUUAUUAUUUUACACACGAUCUCUAAAUUGCUUUUGAGUUAACCCUUAAAAAAAAUUGUAAAAUAAAAAAAAGAAAAAAAAAAGAAAAAGAAAAAAGAGUGUGUUGCUACAUUUGGAGGCCCAUCUAACUAGUAGAUAUGGAAGGUUAUUUAGAGCCCUAAAAGACGAUGGAAAGGCCAUCUUUGAUCCGUUUAAGCCUUUCUAGCCAUCCCUUUUAUUAAAUAUCCAUAGUUAACCCUUUUGAGCCUUUAAAAAAAAAAAAAAAAACCUUUUCUUUGUCAACUUAUCAUCUUGACCCACUCCAAUUUGGAGUAUUACCCGAUAUCUUAUAAGUUCCAUCACCUAUUUAUGUUUGAGAAAAAUGUAAAUAAUUAUUUUGUUCAGUGAAGUUAUGCCAAAAAAAAAAAGAGAAAAAAAACAACAAAACAAAAGUUGUUGUUUCAAAAGAAUAAAAAUAACAAUAAUAGGUGAAAUCCACCUUGCAACUUUCAAAAAAUAAAAAAAAUUCUCUGCAUUUUUCUCAAACAUACACUUUGUUUUCCUUAUUUCCUUUCUUUAUUAACCAUGUCCCUAGCCUACGUUACAUCCUAAUAAAAGUCCUUCCUAAUUUUAGAGAACUAUAAUCUGAAGUAGAAGCUAGUUAUAUGGGCUAAAAAGAUGUAGUGGUGCAUAUAAAAAAAAAUAAAUAAAUAAAUUGGGUUGACUAACAGUUUUUAUUUGACUUGAGAUCGUAUUAUUUUUAAGCUGAGGGCAUAUUUAUUUAAUCUUGGUGAGAGCAUGUGAUAUCACUUCUUCAUUAUUUUAUCUCAAUUAUCAUUCAUUGGAGUGACUAUUUUUAUUGGGUUUAAUUUCUUUGUGAGAGUGUCACUACUUCCAGUGAGAUUUUGGGGUUUGACAUGUCAUUCUUAAAAGUAGCUAUAACAAAGUCUACUGGGCUGAUUCAUGUGGAUGGUUGAUGUGAGUGUGAUGUUACUUUAGACUGGAGAUAAUGCUUAUACUUUUAUUUGAUUGCUAUCAUUAAUCUGAUUGAAUAAACACGAGUGUUUCUAAAUUUAAAAAAAAAAUCAUUUUGAAUUUGAAUUUUAUUUUCGCUUCAUUUGCUAGGGACUAGCAAUAAGCUGGUUGGGGGGUGUGUUGAGUGUUAGAAAAUGCAUAUUUAUAAAGGAGAAAACCGUCAUUUUACAUUUCAAAUCUUACUAACAACCCUUACUUUUAUGUAUUUAACCUUCUUGUUAUUUAAUUACAUGUGUUUUAUUUUAAUUAAGUAUUUUAUGUAUUUUAGGGGCAUCAUAGUCAUUUCACAAUAAACGAGAAAUCAGAUGGCAAAACGGACAUCACUUUGAACUCAGGACGGUCGAAAACCUUAGGAGGAGCAUAAAAGGAAAAAUGGCACUGUUCACUUGUACGGUACUAUUCACGUGUACGGUACUGUAUACGUUACUGUUCACGACAUUGUUCACAUAGACGGACCGAUGAUGUGGCAUUGACUGAUGAGGUGUCACGAUCCUGUUGGACUAAAAUUCUUAUAUACUGUUGAUGGUGACGUGGCAGCAUAUCAGUGGACGAAAAAUCUCGCAUACGGUGCAUGCAUCACACAGGAUUAUUUUCAACCAAACCGCGUUACUGUUCAUCCGGGUCAAACCGCGUUACUGUUCAAAGUCGGGUCAAACUGUGUUACUGUUCAUCGGCGUGGUCAAACCGUGGACUGUUGACUGAUGACGUGGCGCAAUCCUGAGCGUCCAAACUGUUUUUAAUCCGAUGGCCAUGAUUUACUCCAUGUAUCUAUAAAAAGGGGGCCUCCCCCCCCUAAUUUGAUAUCUCUGAAUCCAUUUUUGGGAUCCAUUUUCUGUAAUUCCCUCUCCAUCUUGUAUUUUCUUCGUAUUUUAAUAAAUUCCCAUUUUGCCCCUCGUUCAAUUAUGAGUGGCUAAUUUUCUUUCAAGCUUGGGUUGAAGGUGAAGUCUCAACAUGUGUCAUGGGCUUAAUUUGGUAAAUUUAUUUUCUCUUCCCCUCUAGUUUUUGUGGAUGUUUUGACUUCUCGUCGACAAAUAAUAAUAUUCUUGUCUAGUACCGCCUUGGUUUCACCGGCCCUCUAGUACAAGGUUAUUAUUAUUUGGCACGAUAAGCCCUUAGCACCAUAUUGAUUAGAGCGUGGUUCAUGAGGUGUGGAUUCCCCUCUCAUGAUUUAAUUGGCAUUAAUACGGAUUAUUUAGCCCAUGAUGCAUGUUGAUACGGAUCCAGAUACCCAAGUACGUCAUUUCAAUAGAUUUCGCUUCAAUUUAUUCUCGCUAUUGCAAUUCCAAUUUUAGAAUCUCAAUUCCAAUUUUAGGAUAAUUUAAAUCAUUUCCACCACAAUUUCAACCACCCAUUUACAAAAUUAAUUCUACAUAUAAUUAAAAUUCACCUCCUCGUGGGAUCGACACUCGUCACCAUUGAUCUAUACUACAAUAGAUUCGUGCGCUUGCGAGUACAUUAAAAUUUGCACAACAUAAGACAUAUCGUAUUUGGUCUCUGCAACCACCAGAAUUAGUAUCCUAUGUUAAGGAUUUAGAAAGCCAACUCAAAGACAUUGAGAGAUGUGUCUACAAUAUCCAGUUAGAGCUUGAGGUAAAUUCAAUAAGAGGACGAUUUUAAUUUUCUUUGUGUGUUUUAAUUUGUUUUUCUGUUUGUGUGCUUUAGUUUGUUACCCUGGUGAAGUGGCGGAUAACGGUACUCCGUGACAAUCAAGUCGGUUACUUCAGUUUCCCAUAAUAACUGAUAUUCUAAGGCGAAGGUAUGGACAUAAACGAGAUCUUAGUAAAGAUUCACAAGCGAUUCCCUUCACUUCCUCAGAAUGCCCUCCUUACAAUCUAUAAAGCUCGGUCCGAACGCAUACGAUUGCUCAUGAGGAAUAACAUAUCUGCUGACAUCCUUUGGUUAAUCGAGGUGAAAGUACGAUUGGCAGGUGAGUUACCUCCUAAAUUUAUUACAUACAUGCCUAGUUGUGGUAAAGGAAAUUAUGUAAGAAAACGAAGAGCUCGAAGAAUUUCUGUUGCUUGUCAUAAGUGUGCUAGAAUGAGUUGCGAUAAAAAAUCAUGUUCUUUAGGAAUGAUGUCUGGUAACAUGGAAGAUAAGAUUUAAUUCAUUAGGGAUGGCUUGAAUAAGGAGUCAUUGGAUGAUAUCCUUCUGUCUCUUGAAACGCAUCCCAGUGGAUAUGUGCAAGGAGCGAUUCUCCAGUUAUGGCCAUUAUUCCAGAAAGAGCAUGCACGAUAUAGUCUCGAGAAUCUGACUAUAAACGACCAUGUUUGCCAGCUUAUAAGAAAACUGGAUAGGAAGCCUAUCAUCGACCCAUAGAGGGCAUUCAAGCCGUUUCUAGACGUAAAAUCAGAGGAAGAUGUGAGCCACAGUCGCAACUACCUGUAAAUAUCCUUUUACUUCACUGUUAUUUUAUUUCACUGUUGUUUUAUCAUUUGCAUUAUUGUCUUCGAUAAUUUUAUUUUAUCAUUUUUUUACUGUUUGCUUUUUGACUCUCGAGCCAUGUGCUUUACACGUUAUUUGACACUGACAUGCUACCUCAUACACAGCUGUAACCCAUUGUCACCAAGAUUCUUAAAUAUGAUUUUUUGGUCACGUACUCACAAAUUGUUUUUGAAAAGUAUCCCAAUGGCAGCUACUCCCGAUAGACAAUUCAAGAACAUUUGUGUGCUUUCUGGAUUUAACUAUAGUAAACAUAAAGAGUUUGUUAAGGCAGCCAUAGAUCUUGGUCGAAAUAUAGUAGAGAGAAAAUUAUACUUGGUGUAUGAAGGAGGCAACCGAGGGUUAUCAAAAUUGGUCUCAGAAGCUGCUUUUGUCAAAAGAAGCCAAGUGUUAGGCAUCAUCCCAAGAGCCCUAAAACCUUUGGGCAGUAUGUCUGACUCACCGACUGGAGAAGAGUUAGUCGUCUCAGGUAUGUAAGAAAGAAUAACUGAAAUGCUUAAUCAUGCUGAUGCUUUUAUUUUCCUUCCAAGAGAACUUGUAACACUAGAGGCACUUAUCACAUUAGCAUCUUGGGCCCAUCUGCACAUUCACCAGAAACCUAUCGGUUUGUUAAAUGUCAAUAACGUUUAUGAUGGCUUUAUCGCAUUUCUUAACAGUGUAAUAAAAAAUUAUUUCAUUCCUUCCAAUGCAAAAAAGCUUUUUAUUUGUGCUCAUACUGCUAAUGAGCUACUUGAUUUAUUACAAGCUUAUAAACUGGAGCCAGACCCCUAGACCUUUGUGUUGGAGCGUCCAAAUAAUGAUGGUAACAGUAGCCGCAGUAAGAAGUACAAAUUAGAUUUAACUCUCUGCUUGUAAAUAUUUUCUUCUGUGUUGCACCACCCAUGUGAUGUCUUCUAAACUCUACUUCUUUCCUUUCAAACAUUGAGGAUAAUGUUUCGUUCUGGUUGGGGGGAGGGAAUAGUCGACAAUUGUGGAAUCUUUGUGAAGUUUUUACUAAUUUUUUGUUGUAGAAACUAACUGUUGCUAACUUUUUAUUGAAGAUAGCUGAAUAUGGAGUGUAGUGACUCUAGAAACGCAUCUUCAUUGUUUAAAAAAGAAAUUUAAAAAAAUUCAGACAUUUUCUUUUUCUUUAUUAAGCUUUGAUGUUCAUUUUUCUUCUUCUUUUUAAUUUCUCCUCUAUAAAUAUACAUUUUCAAAUUUUUUAGUCGAAAAUGGCUGAAUAUGGAGUGUAGUGCCCCUAGAAACGCAUCUUCUUAGUUAAAAAAAAUCAUUUUCUUUUUCUAUCAUUUUAAAUGUAACUUUUCUAAUUAGUGUUUUUGCAUCAUUUUUACAUUUCUGCAUGCAUAUUUUCCUUUCAUGUUUAGAAUAGGUUGGGGGGUAGAAUAUUGUUUGAAAAAAAAAUUGUGUGAUUUGUUUUAACAUUAGAUGACAUGAUGAAUUUCAAAUUUUAAUAUUAGUAUUAUCUUUGGUCUUAAGUGAUGUUACACUAUGUUUGCUACUCUACAUGUUGAUGUCGGAAACAAAUAUGAGUUGCUUGAAGGAAUGAACAUGUCAUAAUAACUACCAAGUGAGUUUUUGAGCUUAUCAUUUUUCUUGGAGAGUAACCAUUUUGCCCAUUCUUUAUACAACUUAGUAGUUUAUUAUUGUAUACACGAUCUCUAGAUUUCUUUUGAGUUAAUCUUUAAAAAAAUGUAAAAUUAAAAAAAAAAGAAAAAAUAUGUGUUGCUACAUUUGGAGGCUCAUCUAACUAGUAGAUAUGGAAGAUUAUUUAGAGCCUUAGAAACUGAUGGAAAUGUCAUCUUUGAUUCGUUUGAGCCUUUCUAGCCAUCCCUUUUGUGAAAUAUCCAUAAUUAACCAUUUUGAGCCUUUAAAAAAAAAACAUUUUCUUUGUAAAUUUAUCAUCUUGACCCACUCCGAUUUGGAGUAUUACCCAAUAUCUUACAAGUUCCAUCACCUAUUUAUGUUUGAGAAAAUGUAAAUAAAUAUUUUGAACAAUAAAGUUAUGCCCAACAAAAGCAAAAACAAAAAAUUGGUGUUUCAAAAAAAAAAUAACAAUAAUAGGUGAAAUCCACCUUGCAACUUCCAAAAAAAAAACAAAUUGCAUUUUUCUCAAACAUACACUUUGUUUUCCUUAUUUCUUCUCCUUUGUUAGCCAUGUCUCUAACUUACGUUACGUCCUAAUAAAAGUCUUUCUUGAUUUUAGGGAACUAUAGUCUAAAGUUGAAGCUAGUUAUAUGGGCUAAAAAGAUGUAGUGGUGCAUAAAAAAAUAAAAAAAUAAAUUGGGUUGACUAGCAUUUUUGUUUGACUUGUGAUUGUAUUAUUUCUAAGCUGGGGCAUAUUUCUUUUAUCUUGGUGAGAGCAUGUAAUAUCACUUCUUUAUUAUUUUUCUCUCAAUUACUAUUUAUUGGAGUGACUAUUUUUAUUGGGUUUAAUUUCUUGGUGAGAGUAUCACUAUUUCCAGUGAGAUUUUGGGGUUUAAAAUGUCAUUCUUAAAAGUAGCUGUGACAAAGUCUACUGGACCAAUUCAUGUGGAUGGUUGAUGUAGGUAUGAUGUUUCUUUAGACUGGAGAUAAUGUUUAUACUUUUAUUUGAUUGUUAUCAUUAGUCUGAUUGAAUAAACAAGAUUGUUUAAAAUAUAUAUAUAUAUAUAUAUAUAUAUAUAUAUAUUGUGUUUGAAUUUUGUUUUCACUUUAUUUGCCAGGGACUAGUAAUAAGCUGAUUGGGGGGUGUGUUGAGUAUUAGAAAAUGUAUAUUUAUAAAGGAGAAAAUCGUCAUUUUACACUUUCAAGUUUUACUAACACCCUUACUUUUUUGUAUUUAAGUUUUGUGUUAUUUAAUUAUGUGUGUUGUAUUAUAAUUAAGUAUUUUAUGUAUUUUAGGGGCAUCAUAGUCAUUUCAUAAUACACGAGAGAUCAAACGGCAAAACGGACAUCACUUUUGAACUCAGGACAGUCAAAAAUCUUAGGAGGAGCAUAAAAAGAAAAAUAAUAUUAUUCACAUGUACGGUAUUGUCUACGUUACUGUUCAUGAUACUAUUUACAUAGACGGAUCGAUGACGUGAAAUUGACCGAUGAUGUGGCAUUGACUGAUGAGGUGUCACGAUCCUGUUGGACCAAAAUUCUUAUGUACUGUUGAUGGUAACGUGACAGCAUAUCAGUGGACCAAAAAUCUCGCGUACGGUACAUGCAUUAAACAGAAUUAUUUUCAACCAAAUCGCAUCACUGUUCAAGCCGGGUCAAAUUGUGUUACUGUUCAAACCGCGUGGUCAAACCGCGUACUGUUGACUGAUGACGUGGCACAAUCCUGAGCGUCCAAACUGUUUUUAAUCCGAUUGUCAUGAUUUACUCAAUGUAUCUACAAAAAGGAGACCUCCCCCCCUAAUUUGAUAUCUCUGAAUCCAUUUUUGGACUCCAUUUUCUGUAAUUCCUUCUCCAUCUUGUAUUUCUAUGUAUUUUAAUAAAUUCUCAUUUUGCCCCUAGUUUAAUUAUGAGUAGCUAAUUUUCUUUCAAGCUUGGGUUGAAGGUGAAGUCUCAACAUGUGUCAUGGGCUUUAUUUAGUAAAUUUAUUUUCUCUUCCCCUCUAGUUUUUUGUGGAUGUUUUGACUUCUCGUCGACAAAUAAUAAUAAUCUUGUCUAGAUACCGCCAUGGUUUCACCAGCUCCCUAGUACAAGGUUAUUAUUAUUCGGCACGAUAAGCCUUUAGCACCAUAUUGAUUAGAGUGUGGUUCAUGAGGUGUGGAUUCCCCCUCAUAAUUUAAUUGGCAUUAAUAAGAAAUAUUUAGCCCAUGGUGCAUGUUGAUACGGAUCCAGAUACUCAAGUACGUCAUUUCACUAGAUUUCUCUUCAAUUUAUUCUCGCCAUUUCAAUUCCAAUUUUAAGAUAAUCUAAGUCACUUUCACCGCAAAUCCAAACAUUCAUUUAGAAAAAUUAAUUCUACACACAAUUAGAAUCAACCUCCUCGUGGGAUCGACAAUCGUCACCAUUAAUAUAUUUUACAAUAAAUUCAUGCACUUGCGAGUUCAAUAAAAUUUGCACAACAAUAGGCAUACAGGACAACCCACAAAACAGCAAUCGACGAGACUCCGUUCGCUUUGGCCUCGGACAUGAAGCUAUUGUACCAGCCGAGAUAAGGGCGACCACGUACCGAACAGAUCACUUCGAUGAGUAGGAAAACAACGACCAGAUGUGCUUGAAUCUGGAUCUGCUAACCGAGAAGAGGGAGCAAGCAUCGAAGCGAUCAGCCGUUUACCAGCAGAGAGUUGCAUGAUAUUACAACCAGAAGGUAUGUAUACGACAGUUCAAGGUCGGCGAUUGGGUACUAAGGAGGGUGAACCAGAACACGAAAGACUCGACACAAGGAGUACUUGGACCAAACUGGGAGGGGCCAUAUAGGGUCAAGCAGGUAGCUAGACCCGGAGCCUACAAGAUUGUUCGCAUGGAUGGCCAUGAGGUGAAACGCCCCUGGAAUGCAGCGCACCUCAAGAAAUAUUUCCAGUAAGACCCGACCACGCUUUAGAGUUAUUUCUAUUUGUUCUCGUUGUUAUGUAUUCUAUGUCAAAUCAAUCUCAUGUAAGGAAUUAUCAAUUAAUGAAACGUUAAGGAAUUUCAGUCACUUGUAAUGGUGUAAAAAUCUCCAAUGCAUGCAAAGACUCACUAAGUCUCAAAGCUUGGUUAUGACGAGACCAGAAGCCAAGCGUGCCAGGAUCUGCUUGACCAACCGCGAGCAGACUCUCACAUGUUGUGAAAAUUUUCAAGGCAUGCAAAGGCUCACUAAGUCUCAAAGCCUGUUUAUGGCGAGACCAGAACCCAAGCGUGCCAGGAUCUGCUCGACCACGCGAAGGCGAAUAGACCCUCAAAUGUUAUUAAAAUUUCCAAGGCAUGCAAAGGCUCACUAAGUCUCAAAGUCUAUUUAUGGCAAGACCAUAAGCCAAGCGUGCCAGGAUCUGCUCGACCACGCAAAGUCGAGCAGACCCUCAAAUGUUAUAAAAAUUUCCAAGGCAUGCAAAGGCUCCCUAAGUGUCAAAGCUUGUUUAUGGCAAGACCAGAAGCCAAGCGUGCCAAGAUCUGCUCGACCACGCGAAGGCGAGCAGACCUUCAAAUGUUAUUAAAAUUUCCAAGGCAUGCGACAGCUCACUAAGUCUCAAACCUUGUCUUAUGGCGAGACCAGAAGCCAAGCGUGCCAGGAUUGCUCGACCAAGCGAAGGCGAACAGACCCUCAAAUGUGAGACGACGGGAAGCCGAACGUUUUGUCACCUGCUCGACCACAACGUAAGUGAACAAAAAAAUAAAAUAAUCUGCCAAGAGCUUGAAGCGAAGAAAGCAAAUAAGAGCGUUCUUAUUAAUCUGCCAACAAUCAUGAAAGCUGCUAGUCUUAACAUACAAUGUUUCAAAAAAAAAAAACCUACGACACAAAUACAUUCAAGAGGACGGCGGGUCAGUAAGUUGGGCCGUCUCUGUUGGCUGGUCCACCUCAGGAGCAGGAGGGCUCUCACCAGUGGCACCUAGGGGGUACUUACCUCGGCAACAUCAAUAGGGACUGCACGAGGAGGAGAGUUUCCCUCCUCGGUUGCAUUUGGCUCCAACUCUUCGACAUCCUCUUUUGCUGCCUCCUCAUCCAUAUAUUGAGCAACGCUAGCAGCAAGCUCAUCUAUCUUCAGAUUAGGAUGCUGCCUCCCAAGGACAGCCAUGAUGCAACGAUAAGAAUGCCGAAGCCCCUGGUCAUAUUGGUUGUCAACUUCCUUCUCUAGGUUUUCAACCUGAACCUGGUGGGAAUCCUUGAGAGAUUCGAGCUGAGCCUCGUAAGUAGCCUUCUACCUCUACAGAUCCUCCUUAACCUUAGUCAGCUCUUCCUCGAGAGUGAUGGCCUUUGCCUGCGCGAGAGACUCUCGUUCUAUCAACUUCAGAUUCUUGAGAUUGAGAUAUCUGGCUUUCUUCUCGGCAGCGUCAUCUUUAGCUUUGGCUUUGGCCGAUUGAAUCCCUCAUCUUUCGGUCAUAGCGACCAACUUUUGCCUUAUAGUAAGUGACCAUACAGCCGAGAUAAAAAGCACUAUACUGCAUAGCCCCUACCAGCUCGUUUAGAGUGCUACCGUCAAAGUCCUCCAAGUCCUUUUUGCUCACGAGUCGAGAAAACUUACUAAUGUAGGGGACCAGAUGCUCUGGUCGAUUGUCGGGCAAACGAGGUUUCGACCAUGUUGGUGGAGGUGGAGAAUUGGGAUCAGUGGUUGUCCCACUACUUUCGCCGGCUUUAGUAGGAGGAGGUGGUAGAGUCCUCAAAAGGGGGACCUGCUCCGCGGUGUUCACCCAUUUCGCAAAGAGAGCCCCUUUAUUCUGGUCGUGCUUAGCAGUAUGUGGUCGAGGACGCUUCCGAGUCAAGGCCCCGAUCACAGCAUCCUUCAUCUUAAGAUCAGUGUGCACCAAGUGAGACUCGAAGAGAUUGUAAGUAGAUAGCAAAUCUCGGCCCGAGCAAGAAUUGGCUAACACAGCCUCAACCUCUAUAAGUGGGUCCGGUUGGAGCGGGUAGUGCACACCCCAAGAACCUGCAUUACGAGCAGAUAUUGGGUUAGAAAUAAAUCAACAAAAUGAGAACAACUAGGGAUACAAGACAUCUAAAGCGAGCAGGCAACCUGGGACCACGAAACGGGAUGGGACGCAAUAGUUCUUCCCGUCAAUAUGUGCAACUUGACCCCAAGGAUCCCUAGCAAAAAAGAAUUUUUUCUUCCAAUUCCCACCACCACCAGUUGGAAGAUCAGUUAUAGGUUUCCUGGUCUUGGUACUUGAUUGGAAAUAAUACCAGCCAGCGUCUUUGGGGCUGCUCUUUAGCUGGUACAGGUGAUUUACCUCAUCAACUGUAGGCGCACUCUGGCAGCAUCUGUCCCACAAUAUAAACAGACCAGAAAGUACCCUCCACCUGUUGGGGUUUAGUUAACCAGGAGCUAAGUUCAACCCGCUUAGUAUUCGGGCAAAAUAGGGUUGUAGAGGGCACCUCAUCUCAAGCUUAAAACUUUCCAGAAACAGAGUAACGUAUCCCCUAGGAGGCCGGCUAGGAGUAUCCUUUUUUCUUUGGAUCCUAAGGGGUAUAUCAUCAAGAAUGUCAUACCUAGCCCGGAGGUUAUCGAGCUCGUCUACUGUGGUCGUGCACGUGAUGAAGUCAAUAGGAUAAUGCUCCGAUAGAGCCCUACUUCCUAUUCUAUUCUUUCUAUCUGGUCGCGACAUUUCUGGUGAGGACAUUUCACCAGCAUCUUCUCCCUGGUCCUCACUCAAUGUGUCUUUCGAACCAGAAGAUCCCUCGUCGCCGCUAUUGCUGGUUGAGGAGGUUGUCUGGGGAGACAUCCUCUUAGCACUAGUCCCAACACUAGAUCUAAUGGGUUCUAAGGGGAUUCCGGGGUCAAAACCAGAAUCGGCGAGCAGACUAGGCAAGAAGUCUAACUCGUCAUCAUCAAUCUCAAUUGUCUUCUCUUUACCUUUUGACAUUUCCUAAACUAUGAUCAGAACAAUAUCACCAAACACUACCCAAGCAAAACAGAGAGAAAAGAAAUUUUCUAUAACUAUCCAAGACCAAGGAAAUAGAAAUAAUACCUGCAAUUGUGGCCUAGCCGAGUAGAGAUAAGAGAGGUAGCUUUCACAGUGAAUGAGAAGAAUGACUUGGUUGCCGGAGAAGUAGAAGAAGGAUAAAAGAUGAGUUUCCCUUUUGGGAUUUUGGGUUCCUUAAUGAGGAAUAAACUCUCGGACUGUCAGCAUUUAACGGCAUGAAUUCCAAGGGUUUCAUAGCCAUCGAUUUGAAAUUCAAAUAGAGGGAUAGAUUUCUGCCACAUCACCUCGCCCGUAAUUAAUUGCGACACGACUCCUCAAAGCCCCUUCCUAUCAUGCAUGAGCCAAAACCGUUGAAUUUCUACUGUCGGUUCACUACGUUACCCAACACUAGAAACUGGGGGACCGGUGUUUGGGGGAUAUACCUCGACAAGACUAGCCGUGAUGAGCAGAUACCUAGUAGCAUGAUUCUGCGAACAGGUAUAUUAUGUGGAAGUCUGAUAGCAGGGGAACAGGAGCAGGAAUAUUCUGCUCGUUCACGAAUGUGCCAUCUGCCGGACCAUAACUAGAGCCAGCCUCCUAUUAGGAGCAUAAAGCCAUUCCUGCUAGAGGUUGAGGUAGGGAGACCCGGUCAAUGACAGUUGGCUAGACAUGCAUUCCUACCCGAGAAUCAAGAUACUAAGUCCAUCCAGCCACGACUACGAUAACGGAGCAUCCACUUCCGAGAGUUAGGGAGGUAAUGGAUGUUGAUUGUGGGAAGGCCCGGAUUCAAGAGAAGCCUAUAAAAAGAUUUACAACGAAGGUAAAAGGGUUAGAUUUUUUAAGAUUACAACUGAGAGAAAAAGAGCUUAUGUUAAGAAAUCGUAAAAAAGCCAUAAGAUUAGUGGUCGUUUUUCCAGAAAGGCAAAGCCUACAUUUUUUACUUGAGUGUCGGAGGGUUUACGCCGAGAAAACACCCGGCGUGCUCUGACCUGUCUCUGUAUACGCGGGAGUUUUGCAGAGAAGAAGUCUUACGAGGAGAGAUCCUGGUCGUGGACGAGUUAGUUGAGGAGAGAUCUUGGUCGAGGAGAGAUCCUGGUCCUCGACAAGUUAGUUGGGGAGAGAUCUUGGUCGUGGACGAGCAGAGAACCAGAAUCUCGCAUCAACAAUUUCUUUUGCUUUUUUCUAGUUCUUUUGAUUUUUUAUUUUUUAUUUUCUCUCAUAUAAAUCGAUGGAUUUUUUUUGAAAAAAAAAACUGACGAUUCGUUUUUUUCGCUGCAAAUAUAAUUUUACCCACCCCUAAUCUGUAUGGUGAAUAUCAUUGCUACAAAGGCUGCUUCCAGUAUUAUUGCCAGUUGUGGAGUGGUUGAUAAAAUGUUGCUAGCCAGGCUGAUUUGACUGUUUGAAGGAAAAUUGCUACUACUCAGGAAGAAAUAGCUAGUACUAUUUUUCUCCAUCUCAUCAAUUUAAUCUUGAAUCCUUAUAUUACAAUUAAUUUUCGUAAAUGGUGAGAGAUUGGUUAAACUCAUAAAGACUGAUAAAAGUUUAAUCUAUUAUAUUUUCUUGCGUACUCAAUGAAUACAAACUAAGAAGAAUUAUUAUACUAAUACAUUUUCUCAAUGAUUGCCAGCUUUUUAUGUAAGAGCCAAUAUACGUUCAUGAUGGCAAAUUUAUUGAGAAAAAAAUUUUGUUCAAUCAAGUAACACUCAAUAUUCACAUCGAAUAAGAGAUAAGGAAAAAAAAAUCAUUCUAUGAAUGCAGAAAGGGGAAAAAAAGGAAUAAUGACAGAGAUUUCUAAUUGUGAUCAUUUUGGUGUUUUCAACGUGUACUUGAGUAAAAGUUAAAAUUUUAAAAUUGAAGUGUGUAAGGUAAAAGAGUGCUUAAUUUGCAUUUCAAAUAAUUUCAUUUUUCUGAUUAUUAUUAUUUUUUCAUUAUUUAGUUAAAUGACAACUUGAGUAUCUAUCCACUCAUAUGAAUAAGAUAUCUAAUCAUCAUUUAAGUUAUGGACAAAUACUUAUAUGAGAUGGUCAAGUGAGAGGGGCUUGUUAAAACCCAAUCAAAUAAUAUUGAGUCUUUAAGCUACCAAGUUAAGCUUGCACGGGUCCAAAGUUUUAGCAUCUCCUUUUAUUGUUUGAGUUGAUUUUUUUAACUAACUUUUCUUAAUUAUGUAUAACAGAUGGUCUUGGCUCUUUAUCUUUAAGUCUAAUAUCCACAGGCACAAGCAUCGGAGGCAUCGUUCUCUCCGCGCUGGUGAUAUUUCUCAUCUACAAAUCAAGAGAAUCUGAAAAAGAAAAAGAAACUCAACUGAAGGUGGAGAAGUUCCUCGAAAACUACAGGACCGUCAAUCCCACCCGAUAUACUUACAAAGAACUGAAGAAAAUAACAAGCAGAUUUAAGCACAGGCUCGGUCAGGGAGGUUACGGAAGCGUGUUCAGAGGAAAACUCUUCAACGGAAUCCCAGUUGCUGUCAAGAUGUUGGAACAUUUAAAAGGAAAUGGACAAGAGUUCAUCAAUGAAGUGGCCACAAUUGCCAGGAUUCACCACUUCCACAUUGUUCGGCUUCUGGGAUUUUGCUCUGAAGAAAACAGGCGUGCUCUUAUUUACGAGUUUAUGCCCAAUGGAUCACUUGAAAAAUUCAUCUUCUCUGAGGAAGAUUGCAUUUGGCGUUGCCCGUGGAGUGGAGUACUUGCACCAAGGGUGCAGCCAAAGGAUCCUGCACUUCGAUAUCAAGCCUCACAAUAUAUUAUUAGACCAUAAUUUUCAACCGAAGAUUUCAGAUUUUGGACUGGCUAAGCUGCGCUCUAAGGACAUAAGCAUUGUAUCUCUGACAGCUGCCAGAGGAACUUCUGGCUACAUUGCACCUGAACUUUUCUCCAGGAAUUUUGGUGAGAUCUCUUACAAGUCUGAUGUUUACAGUUAUGGAAUGAUGCUGUUGGAGAUGGUCGGAUGCAGAAAAAAUAAUGAUCCUGCGGUUGAAAUUCAGAGCCAAAUAUAUUUUCCGGAGUGGAUUUACAAUAGAAUGAGGCAAGGACAAGAGGUCUGUUUGGAUUUGGAGGAAGAUGGGGAUGAGGGAAUUGCCAGAAAGCUUGCAAUUGUGGCACUUUGGUGCAUUCAAUGGAAUCCCACGGAGAGACCUUCCAUGCCAAUGGUAUUACAAAUGCUUGAAGCUGAUCUACAAAGCUUGGAGAUCCCUCCAAUGCCCUUUGUCUCGUCUGAUGUUGAGACAUGUGCAACCAAUUGAUCUAGAUAGCAGAAGAUUGCAAUUAAAACGGGAUAUUGUUAAUUUGUUUCAAAUUUUCCCCGAUUAUAAGCAAAAUUAAUUAGUCCUUCCUGUUAUUGGAACACUUGAAAACCAGUAUAUUGAGUUUUUGUUCGAUUGUGGUUGUUUUAUCUAUCGCUUAUCUUUGAUGUGUCCGACUGAUACAACAUUAAUACAACUAGAGAUGACUUUUUUCAAUUUGUCAUAUUAUUUAGGAAAAAGUAUAUUUAUACCCCAAAUUUUUUUAAAAAAUAGUCACAAAAACUCUCAAGUUUUUAAAAUAGGACACCAAGACCCCUUUCUAACCACAAUACCUUUAUAAUCUAUCUAGUAAACUAAUAAUAUUAAAUUAUUUUUCACAUUUAAAAUAAUAUUAAAAUGUUAAAUUAUUCUAUUUAUUUUAAUAAUAUAUUUAAAUUUAUUAUAAAUAUUUUAAAUAAAAUCUUUGGGUUUAAUUUUAAAAUUAACGAAAUAUAUUCCUAUCAAUAAUAUUAAAAUUAUUUUUUACAUAAUAUUCAAAAUAAUUUUUAUUUUAAUAUUAUGUUUCUAUUUAUUUUUAAAAAUUACUUCAACAUAAUAAAAGAGGUCUAAUAGAUUGUAAAAUAUAAAAUUUUUAAAAUGUAUAUAUUAUUACAUUUAUUUUAAUGUCAUAUUUCUAUAUAUUAUAAAAUUUUGUGGGUAAAUUUUUUAGGUUUAUAGAGUUAAAGGCUAUUAUAGUAAAAAAAAAAAGAGGGGGGGUCUUGGUGUCGUUUGUUGAAAAUAUGGGAAUUUUUAUAAUCAAUUUUUCAAUCAUUAGGGUGUAAGUGUCCUUUUUCUUAUUAUUUAUUAUACCCCUCUAUCCUCCUCUACUAAAAUCAAUGUUGCCUAAUUGCUGAUGAAUCUUUUGAUUAAUCAUUUAGUUUCGGAGAAGCAACCAAGUGAGACUUCAAAAGUCUUCCAAAAUGUGCACCGUCGUCUCUGAUUCUGAAGGAGGCCCUUAGAAAUUUCUACUUGUCAAGUAGAUGACUAUUGGUCACUGCACUGCUAAAUCCUAUUCCAUUUACGGCAGACUACAUACCGCAUGAAACACAACAGAGCUCAUUACAGAGGCACAAAAUUGAUACAAAAACAUUUGAUAGAGAGGAAACCUCUGCACCUAUGUACCUUCCCAUACAAGCAUAGGGUGCAUAAAACAUACGAAAACUUUAGUCUAUUUUUAAACACAUCAUUGGAAAAAAUUAAGCAUAACUAUCACUGAAAGAGCAUUCCUUUAUUGAUAGGCUUAAGUCUCACAACAUCCUGCUAGAUCCUAAUUUCUUCCCCAAGGGCUCAGAUUUCGGCCUUUGCAAAGUUUUCAUCCCAAGGAAAAUGAUUUUGCUCCCAUCAGCGCCUCAGGAGGAACAAUAUAUAGGUUAAAAUAUUACAUGAGCUAUGAAUAAGGCGCUGAUCACUCCUCUGUGACAAAAAGUUUUGGAAAUGUUAGAAGGGAGUAUUGACGAUUUGCGAAUGCCUCCAAGACCUUUCUCAUCUUCUUCUCGACAUAUCUCCGGAAGAGAGAUUGAAUCAGAUUCUUCAACAGAGUUGUUAGUGUCUGAAUUAGUGAAGGAAAGUUCUUUCAGUGAUAUUUAGGAUUAAUUUUGCCAAUGAUGAAUAUAAAAUAAAUAAAUGAAUAACUUGCAAUUAAUGACAAAUGUUCUUCUUAUUGCGUUAUCUCGAAUUGAAGCCUAAUGCACACACUUUUCGUGAGUGAUAGAUAAUUUAGUUGUUGAAAUCUUUUGAGUUGAUACAAAAUGUUUGAGAUUUGAAUCUGUCCAUAUGGGUGGCAAAAAGAAUUUAACUAGAGGUGUGCUAAGCUUAACUUAAAACUCUGUGGUGGAAAUUUUCUUCAUUAUUUUAGCCCCACAUUGAAAAGUAAUCACAAAAAAUCAGGUCAAUGGCUUCAUUUAGCUUAUUCUUUAUUAUUGUUUUCUGCAAAUGUCAUGGAGGACUACUCUCUUGUGGGGUUGCCAUUGACUUAAAUAAAAUGCUUUUAAGCCAUACAAAAAUGAAUGGCUAUCUUUAAUAUUACACUAAAAAACAUCUCUCUUUCUCUGUUAAUCCAUGUCACUUUUUCUGAGUUCAAUAAUCUUAUUCCUUCUCUUCCUUACACAGAAGCCAAAACUUCUAAAGGAAACAGCGAUACAAAUAUUUAUGAACGUUGUCAACCAACAAAAUGAAACAUACCAUAUCAGAUUCCCCCUUUAGAAUCAAAUUUAAAUGAUUAAGAUUGCUGAUGAUAACACAGACCCUACUAAGUUUAAUAAAUGAUUACAAUUUACACACGCACUCUUUAUAUUAUUAUACCCUUUAUUUGAACAACUAAAUGUACUUUAUAAUAACUACUAAUAUAACAUUGAAACAAAAACAAAUGUAAUAAAUAAAAUUAUCAUAUAUUUUAUAUAUCAAAGCAUGUUCUGUGUUCUCAUAAAAAAAAUGAAUUAUUGUCUUCGAGUUUGUGGUGAGAAAUUAAAGUAGCGAGCGAAAGAUGUUGACUGGAUUGUUUCAUGCGUGGAAAUUGUUACAAAAUUUUUGUCUCAAUUUGAAGGUUUACUACGAAAUUUCAGGUCAAGCUAGGGUCAUCAUCACCGACGCAAACUUGCAAUCAAAACGUUUACUAAGAGUUAACUGACUUGUAAGAGUGUCCGGUGUCCCCUCUGGCAUGGAUACUAAAAGUCUUGCGCUCAAACAAAUUCAAUUAAUAUGCUCUUUUAAACCUUUUCAAUUUCCCCACCUUUAUUUAUUAUUUUUUUUAAAAUAAGAUAAUACUACUUUUGAACAAUUAAUUAUUGCUAUAUCAUCUUCAGCUAGUAGAAUCAGAUAGUUGAAUGCUAUAAUAAAUUUACUAUAUGCACGUGCUCGUUGUUAAGUAAUGAUGUAAAUGCGCACCCAAAACCUUGAAAAUGCAACCUUCUGUUUAAUUUAUUGAAAUUCAUCAUAUCCUGGGAUUGCACUAACAAUGAGGGGGGAAGAAUCAUCAAUUCUCUCAACUCUUCUGUUUUGUCUAUUGAUCUAUCUAUUCACCGCUGAAACUGAAGCAAGAGAAGUACUUCAACAAACCUGUUCCUCUUCUUGUGGCGAUAUCAAAAACAUAAGCUACCCUUUUCGCCUAAAGGGAGAUCCAUCGGGAUGCGGUUAUCCUGAGUUCGAACUGUCUUGCCAGAGCAACCAAACAAUCCUAGAAUUAUUCAAUUCUGCGAUGUACUAUGUAAAGAGAAUUUCCUAUGACGAAAGCACAAUCAGUGUUGCCGAUGUUAACUUGGCCAAUGGAAGCUGCGGCCUUCCAUUCACAUCUUUUCCCAGAGAAAUCUUUCGCCUUAAAAACAGUCGCUAUUUUUUUUAUACCGAUCGGGUUUAUGCACUUGAUUAUUAUAAACACCUGUACGCCUAUUUCGUGAAUUGCUAGAGGGAUCUCAUUGAUCAGGCUUUUAUAAGAGUUCCAUGUUUGAGUGGAGGAAAUCAGUCAAAUGUUUAUGUUAAUUACCAUGGCUCCUAUGUUUCAGAUUUUUCAGAGUCAUGCUCGUUCGUUUCAAUGGUUCCUGUACAUAAUGGGAAUGUGGAAAAUCCUUCUUAUGAAACCCUCCGAGAAUUGAUGGAGACAGGAUUUGAUCUUAGAUGGUCAGUUGGAUGCAGGAAUUGUUAUGCAGCGGCCGGUAGAGAAUGCAUUAGUACAGAGAGAACGGGAAAUAUUGAUUGCUUCGAUUCUAGCUCAAUUACAAACUGUAAGCUUAUGCUUAUAUGUGCUUACAAAUAAAUGGAGACUCUUUUAUUUAAUGUUUUCAAUCUUAAUCUUUUACGUAUUUAAGAAUUUGUGGACAAUCUCUAAAGAGUAUGUAUACCUGUUUGACCCUUAAUAUCUUUUGCACUUUUGCAGUCUUUGCAGGAUGCCACAUCGCACAAGGAGUAUUCGGAAAAUUUAUUUGCUACCAACAACUUUUGACACGUAACAAGCCUAUGCUUACAUAUCUUAGAUCCUGCGUUUGUUUUUGUUGGUGUUUGUUUGAGGAAAAUACUCCGACGAGACCAGACGUGAUGAGCAGAUGUUUGGUGGCAGAAGUCUGCGAGCAGGUGUGUCCUGUAAGAGCCAGGUAGCAGGGAAACAUGGGCAGGAAUAUCCUGCUCAUCCACGAGCACAUCAUCCGCGAGGCCAAUUUCCUGUAAGAAGCAUAAAGCCAUUCCUGCUGUAUUCUUGCUAAGGGUUGAUUCGAGGAGACCCGGUCAACGACAGUUGGCGAGGCAUGCUCUCCAGCCCGAGAAUCUAGGCACGAAGGCCACGCAACCACCCACGACUACGGAAAUGGGGAAUCCACGUUCGAGAGGUGGGAGGAUAACAGACGUAGACUGCGGAAAACUGGGAUUCAGAGGAAGCCUAUAAAAAGGUAGCCAACGAAGGUAAAAGGGUUAGCAAUUUUGAUUCUAAAAGAGAGAAAACAACCCCACAGCCAUAAGAUUUGUGGCAAGCGUUCCCCGAACCUUCAUAUCUGACUUGAGCGUCGGAGGGUUUGCGCCGGGAAAACAACCGGCGUACUCUGACCUGUCUGUGUGCGCAGGAAUCUCUGGAGAAGAAACUUUACGAGGAGAGAUCCUGGUCGUGAUGAAGUUGAUCGAGCAGAGACCCUGGUCGUAGAACGAGGAGAACCAGAAUCUCGCAUCAACAGUGUUAAAGUGAUGGCCUUAUGUGAUUUGUUUAUUUAUUCUCAAAUCUUGUGCUUAAUAUAUAACUUUUCUGAAUCAUCUCUCUGAGUAUGUAUGUAUAAAGCCUAAUCUUUUUUCCUCGGCCUGCAGUUUCCUACAAACUCCCGACGCCCCUCGAAUGGUUAAUGUUAGGUAUGGUUUCUGGCUGGAAUGCCUGUUCUUGUUAUUUCGAAUUCAGCUACUUACCUAGAAUCAAACUUCCUUGUUUCCAGACGGUGCAUUCUUGUAUCUUACAAUUACUCGGUUCAUCCUUGGUUCAACAGUUUUACUUGUGUUCCUUAUCCACAAAUACAGAACGACAUUGAAAACAAUUGAGAAUAUUGAGAAAUUUCUGCACAACCAUCAAUCGUGGAUGCCUAAAAGGUACUCUUACCCGGAGAUAAUUGCCGUGACAAACCACUUCACUCAUAAAUUAGGCCAAGGUGGCUUCGGUUCAGUUUAUAAAGGACAGCUUCAUACUGGUCGCUUGAUUGCUGUUAAGAUGCUGGAGAACUCCAAGUUCAGUGCGGAGGAAUUCAUCAAUGAAGUUUCAACAAUUGGUAGAAUUCACCACGUUAAUGUAGUCCAGCUAUUGGGGUUCUGUUCCGAGGGAUCCAAACGGGCACUUGUCUACGAGUAUAUGCCUAAUGGAUCACUCGAUAUGCAUAUCUUUCCCAAGGAGAGUAGAGGCCAAUCUUUUAGUUGGGAGAGACUCCAGGAAGUUGCUUUAGGAACUGCCCGUGGGAUCGAGUAUUUACACAACGGAUGUGAUGUCUGCAUUCUUCAUUUUGACAUUAAGCCUCACAACAUCCUGCUAGAUCAUAAUUUCAUCCCAAAGGUCUCAGAUUUCGGCCUUGCAAAGUUUCAUCCCAAGGAAAAUGAUUUUGUGUCCCUCAGUGCCACAAGAGGAACCAUAGGAUACAUAGCACCUGAGCUGAUUUCAAGGAAUUUUGGAACUGUUUCUUGCAAGUCAGAUGUUUACGGUUUUGGGAUGGUGUUGUUGGAAAUGGCUGGAGGAAAAAGGAAUUCCAAUAUGAAUGCAACUCGUUCAAGCAAAGCAUAUUUCCCAUCUUGGGUAUAUGACCAAUUAAAUAAGGGAGGUGAUUUAGAGCUUCAGAAUGUUACUGAAAUUGAGUCCAUGAUAGCAAGGAAACUGUGUAUGAUUGGUUUGUGGUGUAUUCAGGUGAAGGCAGCAGAUCGCCCCUCUAUGACAAAAGUUUUGGAGAUGUUAGAAGGGAGUAUUGACGAUUUGCAAAUGCCUCCUAGACCUUUCUUCUCUUCUUCUCGACAUAUCUCCGGAACUGGAAGAGAGAUUGAAUCAGAUUCUUCAGCAGAGUUGUUAGUGUUUGAAUCAAUGGAGGAAUGUUCUUUCAAUGAUAGUUAUGUUUAAUUUUUGCCAAGGAUGAAUGUAAAAUAAAUAAAUAAUAGAUUGCAAUGACAAACGUUCUCUAUCUUCUUCUUGUUUUAUCUCGCAUUGAAACUUAAUGCAUAUAUUUGUGAGUGCAAGCUAGUUUAGUAGUUGAAAUCUCCUACUCAUAUAGGUGGCAAUAUGAUUUAAUUAGACGUGCGCUCUGCUUUAAAAAGAAAUAAAAAUCUCUCGCAUUGAUUACAAACACUGGAUAGGAGUUGGAAAUUUUAUUCUAUAUUUUUAUCACACAUUGAAAAUUGAUCACAAAAAAACCAAGUCUACACCUUCAUUCAGCCUAUUCUUAUAAUUGCUGUCCACAAAUGUCAUGGAGGACUAGUCUCUUGUGGGGCUGCCGUUGACUUAAAUAAAAUGCAUUUUAGCCAUCCAAAUUCCAAAAAUGAGUGUCAUUUGCUCUUUCACAUUAAGAAAUAUAUCCUCAACCAAGAAGGAAGAGUUAUUAAUAUUACACGAUAAAGCAUCCCUAUUUCUCAUUUUCUCCAUGUCACCUGUGCUUAGUUUAAUUCUCUUCCUUCUCUUUCCUUACACAGAAGCCAAAACUUCAGCAGGAAACAACGAUACAAAUAUUUAUGAAUUUUGUCAGCCAACAACAUGCAGCACGAAGGGACCAAAUAUCAGAUUUCCCUUUAGACUCAAAACUCAACCUAUCUCUUGCGGUCUUGAAGGGUUUGAAUAUCAUGCUUAAACAUCAAGACAGUGUUGCACCUUCCUUCCUCUGGCGAUUAUUAUGUGCAGGACAUUUCUUAUCUUCACAGCAGAAUUACCAUUAUGAAUGUACAUGAGUCCACAUGCCCUUUAAAAACCACCCGAGCGGCUUUGUCAAACUAUAGAUUGACCUAAAAGGGGAGAGCUUAAAUUAAAUAUUUGAAUCUUAUUCUGAUUUUUUAAAAAUAAUUUAUUAGAGUUCAUAAAAAAAGGUUGUAAAUGUGUAAUUUAGAUAAAUAUGAAUACCCAAAUAAAAUUGGGCAAACUUUUAUUUUUCAUGAUGCUUUUUUUUUCCUUUAAAACCAAAAUAAAUUUAGUAUUCAUUCAUGUUUUAAUCACAUGCUUGUUUCAAAAUUUUACUUUCUUACAACGUUUUAUGAUUUUUUUUUUAAAAUGUGCUCGCAUAUUUGUUAAAUUUAAGAAUUAAAGUCCAUGAUAUUAUAUUCAUCUUUAAGUUUCUCGAACAGCUACUUCGGAAGUGAAUCAACUAGAAGGAAAAAAAAUGAACCAAAAAACGGAACAGUUCACGGCUUUAUGCUUUUUUAUGGACUGUGGUUGCCUCAAUGAAUAGCCCAAGUGAUUAUUGGGCUUUUAAUUCGGCUCCUAUGAAAGGCCCAAAGCGUCCACGAUGAAGCAGGUCACAGGAGCAGUCUUAAAUCUCAAUUUUGAAUCUCUCUCAACUCCUCAAGCGGGGUUUCAUUUUGAAUGCCGCCAUUGGCCUCAUUUCACAAUAUAGAUGUGCAUGCAUGGAGGAUAUAUAUACACUGGGUGUAGUUGUGUAUAUAUAACUUAUAAAGUUAUAAUUAUAUUAUGAGUAUAUCUUUCUAUGUAUGUAUGUAUGUAUAUAUGAACAAAUAAAAUAAUAACUAUACGAAAAUUUACAAGUAGCACCUGAAAAAAUAUCAGUAGAUCACUUUAGUUUUGAGGUCCAAAUAAUGCUGCACGUUGAUGACGGAAUACAGAGAACUCAAAGAUUUAAAAUGCAUUUGAUUAAUGGCAUUUUAAUUUAUGUGCUCUCUAUCUUCUAUCAACAAAAUUUCAAAAAAUUAGCGCCCUCUACUUCAAUCAGACCAAACACAUGGACCAAAUAUUAAUGAGGAAAAAAAAACCAAUCGAUACGCUUUUGUCUCCACAAUAAUAAAUAGUUGCUGAAUGGCCAUGGAAGCGUGCAUAUCCACAGCGGCACGAAAUUAAAGUAGUUGAUAAACUAUUUACAAUAGCAAGGACUUUGUAUGCAUGAUGCCAAUUAAAUGGUUGCGGGCUUAAAAGCAUUAAUUUAUGAAGUGCUUGUCCCUUUUAGGCUGGAGAUAAGUCAAGACUACAUUGCUUUCCCUCCUUUUCUUGUUCGCCUUUUGCAAUAGAUACUUUUUUUUUAACUGAUUAAGCAUCAGGUUAUUAUAUUACACAGAGAUAUUUACAACUCUACUAUGACAGCAGAUCAUUGCACUGAUAUUUACAAUCAUAUAUAUACCUAAAACUUAGAUUAUUACAUUUUUAUUUUAUAAAGUACAAGCCCAGCCAAAUACCCCUCACAGAGGAGGGAUGUCUUUACUCCACUCGCAUUUCGCAAGGGAGAAAGAUGUUACAAGCAAUAGAUACGUUAUUAUAUUGUUUUUUUAGCACAUUUUCAAUGAGACUACUAUUCCCAUAUCGGCUGCCAAGUUAACCAUUUGAUCAAUAUUUUAUUUUAUGGAUUUGAAUUCGACAUGACAGAUAUUAGAAACCAAUGGCAUACAACAUGACCAAAUUUUACAUCAAUACAUACAUUAUACUAAUGCAGCUGCGACAUUUGAAAUAAGCGAUUAUUCCAUUAAAUCCAUUUACGGCAGAACUACAUACCACAUGAAACGCAAUAGGACUCGUUCCAAUGUCACAAAAUUAAUAAGAAAACAUUUCAUAGAGAGGAAAUCUCUGCGGAAGUGAAUUGCCUUCAUAAAAUAUCAUAGUGACACUUUGACUCUUGACGGCAAAUAGGGCUACUCAUAGAACCAAUCUUGAAUCGGAAAUGGAGAGUUCUAAAAACCACAUGAAAAAUUAACUUUCGAAGACACAUCAAAAUGUUGCACCAAGCAUAAGAUUCAAGAUAUCCUUAGCUCGAAUCUGUUGUAUGUAAGUUAAGUGGAAAUAUCAGGACACAUUGAUUUUCUUCCCCUCUGCGCCUAACUAGUAUUAUAUCGUUGUGAUGAAUAACAUAUAAAUUGAUCUAAAUUUUUGUCAUAAACUAUAACAUUUGUACUCUAAUCUACUUGAGAUUAAUGAAUGUCAUAUAUGAUUAAAAAAAUUAUUAAUUUCAUCUCUUUUGUUAUUCUAAUAAUCUAUUAUAUGCUGUUAUAUCCCAUGAUCAAACUAUGUAUUCGACUGUUAAUUUUUCAAUAUUAUUUUAUUAUAUAUUUACUUGUUUCCAUAAUCACAGUCUAAUUAAGAAUUUAUAUAUAUAUAUAUAUUUGGACUUUGGUGGUCUCCAUACGAAGCCCAACUCAUAUUGGGAAUUUGAAGUUUAAAUCAUUAAAAAGUUCAAUUAGUCCCCAAUGCGCAAGGAUAGACUAAUAUCCUCAUGGCAUUUUUUGACAUAAUUGAUUUGUCAAAAGUGUGUGUGUGUAUAUAUUGACACACGCGCACGCACGCACGCAUAUAUAUAUAUUGUUAUGCGUGGAAUUCUGCAUAUUUUAACACGUGAAUUUACUAAUAUACUGUAUAUUAAUUAAUUGAAAAAAAUUAAUAAAAACACUAAUGGCAUAUUAGUGCCGUCACACACGCCUACAACAUAAAAACUUAUCAUGCAUUAAAUAGAACGCAAUCGUGCACACUGGAUCAUAAUUUUAAUUAUAUAUAUCUUUCUUUAUUUAUAAAAAAUAAUAAUAAUAAUAGUAACAAUAAUAAAUUAAUAAUUACAACAGCAACCACAAUUUUUAGAAACGCGUGAACUUGACAUGAGAAGUCCUCGUUCUUCUGCGUGUCGGUCGCUUUAAAAGUGUUGGUCGUCGGGGGCCGUUCCAAAUUUCCAAUGCCGCGUUUCUCCAAUCCUGUUAAAAUAAACAAAUAAAUAAAGUAAGCCAUUGCGUUUGGUGGUGAGAAAAAUUAAGAAAGCGAAAGAUAUUGACUGGAAUUGGACUGCAUGCAUGGAAACUGUUUCCAAUAAGUUCUGUCGCUAUUAAUAUUGAAGAACGUUUACUAAGAAAUUUGAGGUCAAGCUAGGAUGGGGAUGGAUGGAUCAUCCCAACGUUUACUAAGAAAUUUGAGGUCAAGCUAGGAUGGGGAUGGAUGGAUCAUCCCAUUCCCACCGAUGCUAACUCAUUUACAAUUACCAGGAAAUUAAGCGACUUCACUUUGCCAUAUUGACUUCCCCAUUGAAAUCUGAAAGCUUCCACCUAAACAAAUCGUGGAAAGAGACUUCAGAAGCUGCGUGGCAUCCGCAUACAAAAUUUACAGUAAGAAACGAAAUUGAACAUGUUUAUCUAGAUUUGUCCCUUUAUCUUCCAUUGCAUUAAUGCUUGAAGCCUACCACUCAGUAAUUAAAAAUUUUCUUCCAUCGUGUCGAUUUCAUUUUAUGAAUAAUUAAUAUUAUUUUUAAACAAAUUAUUUAGCGCUAAUUAAUUCAAUCACAUAGUUGUAUACUAAACUAUGAUAAGUUUAAAGCCCGCUUCUCACCGUGCAAGUGAAACCGUAGAAAACAUAGCGCAUUAACACUUUUAUACCGUUCUGCUUAGUUUAUUCAAAUUCGUUAAUUGUAUCCUGGAAUUGGAGGAGCAAUGAGUAGUGACGAAGCUUCAAUUUUCUCAACUUUUCUGUUUUGUCUGUUGAUGUUUGUAUUCAUCACCAGUGAAAUUGAAGCAAGAAAACUUGAAGUACAAAUGUGUUCUUCCUCUUGUGGAGAUGUCAAAAACAUAAGCUACCCUUUUCGCCUCAAGGGCGAUCCAGCUGGAUGCGGCCAUCCGGAGUUAGAACUUUCUUGCGAGAGCAACAAAACCAUCUUAGAAUUCAAUUCUAGAAAGUACUAUGUGAAGAGAAUUUCCUAUGAUAAAUGUUCAAUCAGUGUUGUCGAUGUUAACUUAGCCUAUGGAAGCUGCAGCUUCCCAUCCACUUCUUUUUCCCGACAUUGUAUUAUUCGGAACAUUUUUAUGAGCUUAUUCAUUAUGCUAUUGAUUCAUACGCCUAUUUCGUGAAUUGCUCGAGUAAUAUUGUUGAUCGGGCGUUUACAAAAGUUCCAUGUUCCAGUGACAAUCAGUCGAUCGUUUAUGCUUAUGUUGGAUAUAAUAGCAUUGGCAUUAGCGGCACAGUAGCAGAUCUUCCAGAGUCAUGCGUCUUCAUUUCAAAGGUUCCUGUAGUACUUAAUAGGAAUGUGGACAAUCCUUCUUAUGAAGACAUCCGAAAAUUGCUGGAGUCGGGGUUCGAUCUUAGAUGGUCAGUUGAGUGCAGGAGCUGUGUUGCUGCUGGUGGAGUGUGCACUACCCAUUUUCGUUGCCUCGUCAUAGGCGAAAGCAACCUAAUUUCUGACUGUAAGCCCAUGCUUAUAUUUAUUUUUGCAUUCAAAUGCAAGGCUUUGUUUAUAUUUUUCAAUAUUGUACGUAAUAAAGAAUUUGUGAACUAUCUCUAAGACCAUACCGAUAUGACCCUUAAUUUCUGUUUCUCCUUCACUUUUGCAACAGUUUGCAUCUACAAUGCAGGAGUAGGGGCAAAAAUUAUUUGCUACCCAUAUUAUAUACGUAAGCAUAUCCUUAUAUAUCUUCUUCAUCAUGUGUUUUCGACGCUAAAAAAUGCGACGGCUUCAUAUAUUCUCUAAUCUUUUACUGUAUAAUUUUUUUCUUAAUCAUCUCUCUGAUUAGGUAUAAAGCUUAUUUAUUUUUUUUCCCCCUCUCUCCAAUUGCAGUUUACAGUAUAAUUUAUGUGAUAAGUUCUCCGUUAGGUAAAAUCUCCUCUCCAGGAUCCUCUUUUUAUUGCUUUGCUUACUACUAUUUACUUUCAAUAAACGUUUUCUUUACCAGGGUUUCCAGUUGAUGUUCUGAUAAUUGGUAGAUUUAUUCUUGCUCCAAUAGUCUUUCUCGUGUUCCUUAUCCACAAAUACAGAACGACAUUGCAAACAGUUGAUAAUGUGGAGAAAUUUCUGCACAACCAUCAAUCGUGGAUGCCUAAAAGGUACUCUUACCCGGAGAUAAUUGCCGUGACAAACCACUUCACUCAUAAAUUAGGCCAAGGUGGCUUUGGUUCAGUUUAUAAAGGACAACUUCAUACCGGUCGCUUGAUUGCUGUUAAGAUGCUGGAGAACUCCAAGUUCAGUGCGGAGGAAUUCAUCAACGAAGUUUCAACAAUAGGUAGAAUUCACCACGUUAAUGUGGUCCAGUUAUUGGGGUUCUGUUCUGAGGGAUCCAAACGUGCACUUGUGUACGAGUUUAUGCCUAAUGGAUCACUCGAUAGGCAUAUCUUUCCCAAGGAGAGUAGAGGCCAAUCUUUUAGUUGGGAGAAACUCCACGAAGUUGCUUUAGGAACUGCUCGUGGGAUCGAGUAUUUACACAACGGAUGUGAUGUCUGCAUUCUUCAUUUCGACAUUAAGCCUCACAACAUCCUGCUAGAUCAUAAUUUCAUCCCAAAGGUCUCAGACUUCGGCCUUGCAAAGUUUCAUCCCAAGGAAAAUGAUUUUGUGUCCAUCAGUGCCACAAGAGGAACCAUAGGAUACAUAGCACCUGAGCUGAUUUCAAGGAAUUUUGGAACUGUUUCUUGCAAGUCAGAUGUUUACGGUUUUGGGAUGGUGUUGUUGGAAAUGGCUGGAGGAAGAAGGAAUUCUAAUAUGAAUGCAACUCGUUCAAGCAAAGCUUAUUUCCCAUCUUGGGUAUAUGACCAAUUAAAUAAGGGAGGUGAUUUAGAGCUUCGGAAUGUGACUGAAAUCGAGUCCAUGAUUGCAAGGAAACUGUGUGUGCUUGGUUUAUGGUGUAUUCAGGUGAAGCCAGCUGAUCGCCCCUCCAUGACAAAAGUUUUGGAAAUGUUAGAAGGGAGUAUCGAAGAUUUGCAAAUGCCUCCGAAACCUUUCUUCUCUUCUUCUCGACAUAUCUCCGGAAGAGAGAUUGAAUCAGAUUCUUCAACAGAGUUGUUAGUGUCUGAAUCGAUUGAGGAAUGUUCUUUCAA
Molecule: long non-coding RNA, 53986 nt
Filed under: Citrus x clementina
Lineage: Eukaryota; Viridiplantae; Streptophyta; Magnoliopsida; Sapindales; Rutaceae
Description: Citrus clementina (C. clementina) long non-coding RNA (CCLE_LNC005614)
Source: RNAcentral